RNAcentral lists this long non-coding RNA (75892 nucleotides) under Hordeum vulgare. RNAcentral describes it as "long non-coding RNA (HVUL_LNC013347)". The stretch from base 66784 to 66907 matches the Rfam family "MIR1120/MIR1122 microRNA precursor family". Lineage: Eukaryota; Viridiplantae; Streptophyta; Magnoliopsida; Poales; Poaceae. The record is from RNAcentral.
UUUGUGUUUGUGCAGGUACUUGUGACUUGACGCGAUCCUCCCACUGGAUCGAUACCUUGGCUCUCAAACUGAGGGAAAUACUUACCGCCGCUGUGCUACAUCACCCUUUCCUCUUCAAGGGAACACCAACGCAAGGCUCCAAGGCCGCGGGGAAAUCCUUUGCAUAUUUGCCAAGGAAGUCCCUAUAGGCGUAGCCCGUAGCAGCAGAAUUCCUAGCGCCAUUGCGAGGGAAGGUCUGUUGUCGCAGUAGCACAUACAGAUAACUCAGAUGAAUUAUGUGCGAUGAGCGAAAAUAACACAAACAAAUAACAUUAUUGCAUAACCAAAUUAAACAUGAAAUACAUAAAUGACUACACACAUAACAUUGGAACACCUCAAUAAACAAUUACACACAUAAAAACAUGAUUACAUAACCUAAUUAAGCAUCCAAAUACAUAAGUGACUACACACAUAACAUUGGCGCCCACCUCAAUAAACUAUUACAUGCAUAAUAAACUAUAAGAAACGAUCAUCAAAUCAUCUUCUUAUUGCGACGCUUGCCGCCAUCACUGUGCUUGCGGCUUGAUCCCUCAUCGUCUUCAGGUAGGAGGCACUUCAUCAUGUCAAAAAUCUGCGUGAACAUCACGUAGCAUGCGUAUGCUUCCUUGGUCGUGGUCUAGAUGUGAUAUUCAUCUGGUCUCUCACCCACGCCUUGUGCCAGACAAGCUUAUUUUUGUCGCACUCGGUCUUCAUGUCUCUGUAGUAGGGGUCAAUGAUGGCCACGACGAGGUCAACAUGGGAAUCCUUGUCCUUCUUGCUUCCCCAGACCUUGUAGUGGUCGUGGAUGUCGACAAGCUUCUAGCAUGCCUAGCCUGAAGUCUUGAGCACCUUUGGAUCGUUGGUGGUGUCCACCGUAGCAAGCCUGUAGUCGUGGUUGUUGACAAACCUCGUGAAACACUCGCAAGGCUUUGUGGCCAGGCAGUAGUGAUAAAGGAGGGCGUGAUGGCGCACGCACAACUGGGCAAGACAACCUUCUCAUCAUGCCCGGCACGACCACCGGUGUACGCGAGGUCGAAGCUGACCACUUUGUACUUGUCAUCUGCAGCAAGCAAUAGCUGCAUGGUGUUGAUGGAGUUCUCCACCACGGCCGGGUCGACGGUGUACACCAUCGUGAGGUCCGUCUUACUCAAGUGGGUGUCCACAUGAUGCACGCCGAACUCCAUUAGAGUGCCGCUUAUUGUGUCGUCGAGGGUGUGCUUAUUGUGUUGUGGGGUGCGAUCGAAAGCAUGAAGAGACUAUGCUUAGUGGCCGCAUGUAUAAAUGAGAGCGAGACGUCCUGGAAAACCGACAUGUCUGGAUGGCAGUUUUUGCAGCGCGUGAUUUACUCAUGGAGCACGUAACUGCAUGGGGCGACACAUGUGGCGCAACCGCAUGCAUAUGGAGCUCCGAACAUGAUUGAGGGCAGGCCCCAACCGUUGGCAGAGCAUGCACAGAGGGGCACGAGAGCAGAGCACGCAGAGGGAUGCGAGAGUAGAGCGCCACAAGGAACAUAAGGUCGAACCAAACCAUUUUGUAAUGUCCUUGUCAAGCAAUACGUCCAUAACAUAGGAGUUCUCCACCCAGAUCGGAUGGUUGGUGUACACCACCGAGAGCUCGGUACGUGAACCUUCUGUGCGUAUCCACUACGACAUGCAUGGUGAUCUCGCACUCGUCGUCGUCAGCCACUCGGAGGGCCAUUGGAGCCCUGCAAGAUACCCUCGAUCGUGGUUGUGCUUCUUAAGGUCGAGAUAUUAACCAUCAAUUGCAUAUUAAGGUCCAAAUACUAAUCGUACAUUGCACGCUUAGGAAAAUUGUACUACCAAAAUACGAGUCUCAUACGAUGUCAUUUGAAUGAUUGUAUCAUAAAUGACAAAAGUAGUACAAAAAUUCAAAUUCUAGAAUUACAAGGCUCAAACUCGAAGAUUACAAGGUUCAAACCGAUAAUAGAAAUGAAAUUCAGCUUAUGUAGAAACUUUGUCAUGCAGCUCGAGAUGCCCGCGCUGAUCAGCUGAACAUGAACACAUGAGAGGUUCAUGCUGAUGUUACAACUAGAUUCACAACUUCAAUAUUUCCGCAAAGGGAUCCGCCAGUGACAUGUCAUGUAUGGGCUUGACAUAAGGACUUUCAAAUAGUCUAUUAGCUGAAGUUACAAAAUGAAAUCGAGCUUCUGUAGAGCCUUUUUCAUUCUGUCCUAGUCACCGAAGCUGAUCAGCAAACCAUUCUUUUUUGCGGAGUAAAUGUNNNNNNNNNNNNNNNNNNNNNNNNNNNNNNNNNNNNNNNNNNNNNNNNNNNNNNNNNNNNNNNNNNNNNNNNNNNNNNNNNNNNNNNNNNNNNNNNNNNNUAGUCAUCUUUGAGCAACGGGGUUACUCGUAGCGAUGAAACCAGUCUCUCGUAAGCGUACGAGUAAUGUCAGUCCAAGCCGCUUCAAUCCAACAAUACCGCGGAAUCAAGAAAAGACUAAGGAGGGCAGCAAAACGCACAUCACCGCCCACAAAAACUUUCGUGUUCUACUCGAGAAGACAUCUACGCAUUAACCUAACUCAUGAUGCCACUGAGGGGGAACGUCGCAUGGGAAACAAAAAAAUUCCUACGCGCACGAAGACCUAUCAUGGUGAUGUCCAUCUACGAGAGGGGAUGAGUGAUCUACGUACCCUUGUAGACGUACAGCAGAAGCGUUAGUGAACGCGGUUGAUGUAGUGGAACGUCCUCACGUCCCUCGAUCCGCCCCGCGAACAAUCCCGCGAUCAGUCCCACGAUCUAGUACCGAACGGACGGCACCUCCGCGUUCAGCACACGUACAGCUCGACGAUUAUCUCAGCCUUCUUGAUCCAGCAAGAGAGAUGGAGAGGUAGAAGAGUUCUCCGGCAGCGUGACGGUGCUCCGGAGGUUGGUGAUGACCUUGUCUCAGCAGGGCUCCGCCCGAGCUCCGCAGAAACGCGAUCUAGAGGAAAAACCGUGGAGGUAUGUGGUCGGGCUGCCGUGGAAAAGUCGUCUCAAAUCAGCCCUAAAACCUCCGUAUAUAUAGGUGGGAGAGAGGGGACCUUGCCUUGGGGCUCAAGGAUCCCCAAGGGGGUCGGCCGAGCCAAGGGGGGAAGGUCUCCCCCCCCAAACCGAGUUGGACUUGGUUUGGUGGGUGGGAGUCCUUCCUUCCCUUCCCACCUCCUCCUUUUUUUUCUUUGAUUUUUCUUCCAAUGCGCAUAGGGCCCUUUUGGGCUGUACCACCAUCCCACUAAGGGCUGGUGCACCACCCUCUAGGCCUAUGGGCUUCCCCGAGGUGGGUUGCCCCCCCGGUGAACUCCCGGAACCCAUUCGUCAUUUCCGGUACAUUCCCGGUAACUCCGAAAACCUUCCGGUAAUCAAAUGAGGNNNNNNNNNNUCUUUCUCUUUGAUUUUUCUUCCAAUGCGCAUAGGGCCCUUUUGGGCUGUCCCACCAGCCCACUAAGGGCUGGUGCACCACCCUCAAGGCCUAUGGGCUUCCCCGGGGUGGGUUGCCCCCCCCCGGUGAACUCCCGGAACCCAUUCAUCAUUUUCGGUACAUUCCCGGUAACUCCGAAAACCUUCCGGUAAUCAAAUGAGGUNNNNNNNNNNNNNNNNNNNNNNNNNNNNNNNNNNNNNNNNNNNNNNNNNNNNNNNNNNNNNNNNNNNNNNNNNNNNNNNNNNNNNNNNNNNNNNNNNNNNCAUUUCAUCUUGGUCUAGAUGUAGGCAUGGACAUAGGGGGAGUGUUGUUCUCUCAAUGAACUCUCCCUCCCCCCAUUAUGCGUAAAUCAAUCUAGUCUUUCACUUUAGCCAUUGACAAAUGGCACUUGUGCUUCAAAGACGAGCAUUGGUCAUGAACCCAAGGAUAAUUCUUCGCGGUGUCAUACCAUUGUCUCAAACAUAGGUGGCCUCGGCCACCGCCCCUCCAUCCUCUCUUGCGUAUAAAGGAGAGGAUAUACAAUGACAAGUCAGUACAUUUUCUUGGAUGUGAUUCCUUUUUACUCACUUGUCAUGUGCCCAAGUUUCCCUUUUUCCUUAGCCGUGUUGAAACAUGUACAGCGGUACUACCGCCACGGUAGCGGUACUACCGCCAGGACCCCAGCGGUACUACCGCCAGGGGUAGCGGUACUACCGCCAGGACCCCAGCGGUACUACCGCCAGGUAUGGCAGUACUACCGCCAGGAUUCAAAAUCUAACACGACCGGCUAGAAAAUUUCUAGGGUUUCAAGGGGGAGCGGUACUACCGCCUGGGGGAGCGGUACCACCGCCAGGACCCCAGCGGUACUACCGCUGCAUCUGGCGGUACUACCGCCAGGACCCCAGCGGUACUACCGCCAGGACCCCAGCGGUACUACCGCUGGCCCGUACCCCUUGGGCUAUAUAAAGGGAGGGGGAGCCCGAUUUUUGCAUCUGUUUCUUCUUCCUCGCGGCUCCUCCCUCCCCUAGCCCGAAACCCCCCUGUUUGGAUCUCACUUCGUGGAGCUCCUUCUCCGCGUUGGUGUAGAAGGGUUGCUUCAUCUCUUCUUCCUACUCCAAGAGCCAUGAAUCCCGGUAAAGCUCCUCCCUUCUUCUAUUUGGUUGUUCUUCGUGUUCUAGGGUUAGGAGCAUUGGGGAUUGGAUUCAUCCUGUUGAUCCUAUGGCUAGUUAUUGGAUGGCAUGUAGGAAAUAUUUGAGGGGGGUAUAGGUCCGAUGGUUUGUUGUUGUGAUUGCUGCCAUGCUCUAGGAUUUCAUCGUCUUAGAUCGAAUACUUGAACUCUUGGAUUAGAUCUAAAACGUGCUCUCUCUUGCCUAGGCAUUUUUGUACCUCUUGUUACUAUGUGUUCCUCAUGACAGGAGGGCUGGGGUGUACGUCUUAGUGUUCAUGUUCAGUCCUUGCCCUCGANNNNNNNNNNNNNNNNNNNNNNNNNNNNNNNNNNNNNNNNNNNNNNNNNNNNNNNNNNNNNNNNNNNNNNNNNNNNNNNNNNNNNNNNNNNNNNNNNNNNAGUUGGGAGCAAGUUUUUGUGUUUGUGCAGGAUCUUGAGAUACUCCUCCACUGGAUUGAUACCUUGGUUCUCAAAUUGAGGGAAAUACUUACCACCGCUACGCUACAUCACCCUUUCUGCUUCGAGGGAACACCAAUGCAAGGCUCUAAGGCCACGGGGGGAAAUCCUUUGCAUACUUGCCUAGGAAGUCCCUUAAGGCGUAGCCGCAGCAAAAAGAUCAAGCCAAGUAUUCUCCCGUCGACGUGCCUAUUUUUGGCACCAUUGGAAGGUCUUUUGUUGCAGUAGCAGAAGUAUUUCUGGCGCCAUUGCUGGGGAGGAGAUAUCAAGAUCUAUCCAAGUAGGUCUCACAAACUCUUCUCUUGCAUUUACUUUUGUUGCCAGUUGCCUCUCUUUUUCCUCUCCCCCACUUCACAUUUGCCGUUUUCAUUCGCCUUUCGCCUUCGCCGUUUUCUUUUGCCUUUGCCGUUCCCUUUCGCUCGUCCGCUCUUAGGUUUGUUCGUGAGAGACCUUUCCUCAUGGCCAAACCAAACUAUUUCAAAAAAUUGGAAGAGAUUGAAACUAAUGNNNNNNNNNNGAAGUAUUCUCCCGUCGACGUGCCUAUUUCUGGCACCGUUGGAAGGUCUUUUGUUGCAGUAGCAGAAGUAUUUCUGGCGCCGUUGCCGGGGAGGAGAUAUCAAGAUCUAUCCAAGUAGGUCUCACAAACUCUUCUCUUGCAUUUACUUUUGUUGCCAGUUGCCUCUCGUUUUCCUCUCCCCCACUUCACAUUUUCCGUUUUCAUUCGACUUUCGCCUUCGUCGUUUUCUUUUGCCUUUGCCGUUCCCUUUCGCUCAUCCGCUCUUAGGUUUGUUCGUGAGAGACCUUUCCUCGUGGCCAAACCAAACUAUUUCAAAAAAUUGGAAGAGAUUGAAACUAAUGCCAAAAGUUUCAUGUCUUCGUAGUUUGACCAAAAUAGUUACUUCCGUAGGGAAUUAAAAGAGCAAAAUUCCUUUUUGGUUUGUUUGAAUAAAGAGGUUGAUGAUAUGGCCAAUGAUUUCCUUGCACUUAGUUCUCAGUUUGCUCACCUUGAAAAAUUGGUGGGCCAAAUUUCUGACAAGCAGGCUACCUUAGUCAAUAAGAUGGCAGCUAAACCUGAAAUUUGUGAUGCAAAUCACGAAGAUCUUAAAGUUCUUGGUGUGUCUCCUCUUGAAUCUUUGUUUUCGCGUGUCAAACCUACUUAUGGAGGGGCUGGAUAUGAAUCCACUUUUGUUGAAAAACGACCCAAUGAUUUGGAGUCCACCUAUCUUGAUGAUAAAGGUGUGGAGAGUGGAGUAGAAGAAGUCAAAAUUUUGGGUAGUAAUAAAACUCCCACUUUGGAUUUCAAGGAAUUCAAUUAUGAUAAUUGCUCCUUGCUUGAAUGCAUUUCUUUUAUGCAAUCCAUUGCAAACUCUCCACAUGCUUAUAGCAAAAGCAAAGCCUUUACCGCGCAUAUCGUAGAUGCCAUGAUGAAAUCUCUUGAAGAGAAGCUCGAACUAGAAGUCUCUAUACCUAGAAAACUUCAUGAUGAAUGGGAACCUACUAUCAAAAUCAAGAUAAAAAACUAUGAGUGCAAUGCUUUGUGUGAUUUGGGUGCUAGUGUUUCCGCGAUUCCAAAGUCUUUAUGUGAUAUUCUUGGUUUUCAUGAGAUUGAAGAGUGUUCUCUUAAUUUGCAUCUUGCGGGUUAUACUAUCAAGAAACCCAUGGGGAGGAUUGAUGAUGUUCUUAUUGUUGCAAAUAAGAACUAUGUACCCGUGGAUUUCAUUGUACUUGACAUAGAUUGCAAUCCUUCAUGUCCCAUUAUUCUUGGUAGACCUUUCCUAAGGACUAUUGGUGCUAUCAUCGAUAUGAAGGAAGGGAAUAUUAGAUUUCAAUUUCCUUUAAAGAAGGGCAUGGAGGACUUUACUAGAAAGAAAAUAAGAUUGCCUUAUGAAUCUAUGAUGAGGGCUACCUAUGGUUUGAGCACCAAAGAUGACUAUACGUGAUUCCAUCACUUUCGCCUAGCAAAGGGCGUUAAACAAAAGCGCUUGUUGGGAGGCAACCCAAUGAAUCUAUCCUUUUUCUUUCUCUUUUGUGUUUUUCACACUUUCAUAAUUCUGUUAUGAUUGUGUUUUUUGUGUUUCUUUUUUGCGUUUGUGCCAAGCAAAACCGUUAUGAUUAGUCUUGGGGAUGAUCGUUUGGUCAUGCUGGAAAAGACAGAAACUUUCAGCUCACGAAAAGAAUUUUCUUGUUUUUUCUGUAAGAUCUUUUGAGUUGAUUCUUUUUGCUUCUGAUUGCUACGCAAAUUAUUCAGACUAUCAUAAUUUUUAAGAAUUUGUGAAGUACCAUAGGUAUACGAAAUAUACAGAUUGCUACAGACUGGUCUGCUGUUAACAGAUUCUGUUUUUGUUGUGUUGGUUGCUUAUCUUGAUGAAACUAUGGAUAGUAUCGGGGGGUAUUAGCCAUGGAAGAUUGAAAGUACAGUAACCCNNNNNNNNNNGUUUUUUCUGCUGAUUGCUACGCAAAUUCUUCAGACUGUCGUAAUUUUUCAGAAUUUUGGAAGUACCAUAGGUAUACGAAAUAUACAGAUUGCUACAGACUGGUCUGCUAUUAACAUAUUCUGUUUUUGUUGUGUUGGUUGCUUAUUUUGAUGAAACUAUGAAUAGUAUCGGGGGGUAUUAGCCAUGGAAGAUUGAAAGUACAGUAACCCAACAUCAGCACAAGUAGAAUUUAAGUUUGCUACACUACCUAAGGAAGUGGUGGUUUGCUUUCUUGUACUAAUGUUAUCACAAGUUUCUGUUUAAGUUUCGUGUUGUGAAGUUUUCAAGUUUUGGGUGAAGUUCUUAUGGACAAAGAGAUAAAGAGUGGCAAGAUCUCAAGCUUGGGUAUGCCCAAGGCACCCCAAGAUAUUCAAGGAUGCCGUAAAUGCCUAAGCUUGGGGAUGCCCCGGGAAGGCAUCCCCUCUCUCGUCUUCAAUCUAUCGGUAACGUUACUUGGGGCUAUAUUUUUAUUCACCACAUGUUAUGUGUUUNNNNNNNNNNUGCAAGAGCUCAAGCUUGGGGAUGCCCAAGGCACCCCAAGAUAUUCAAGGAUGCCGUAAAAUCCUAAGCUUGGGGAUGCCCCGAGAAGGCAUCCCCUCUCUCGUCUUCAAUCCAUCANNNNNNNNNNNNNNNNNNNNNNNNNNNNNNNNNNNNNNNNNNNNNNNNNNNNNNNNNNNNNNNNNNNNNNNNNNNNNNNNNNNNNNNNNNNNNNNNNNNNAAGUGCUAGUUCCUGUUUUUUCCGUGUUUUUGACUCUUUUUAGAUCUGAUUUUGGUACGGAGUCCAAACGGAAGAAAAACCCCGAAAUGAUUUUUCCCGAACGGAAGAAGAUCAGGGGGCCUUUGGGCCAAGCCAGGUGGGCUCCAGGGAGCCCACAAGCCCCCACUCCGCCACCAGGGGGAGGCGGCGGUGGGCAGGCUUGUGGCCUCCCGGGCCGCCCCCUGACCUAGAUCUUUGUCCUAUAAAUUCCCAAAUAUUCCGCAAAAAAUCAGGGGAGCCUCGAAAAUACUUUUCCACCGCCGCAAACUUCCGUUUCCGCGAGAUCUCAUCUGGAGACCCUUCCUGGCACCCUGCCGGAGGGGACUUUGGAGUUGGAGGGCUUCAUCAUCAUCAUCAUCGCCCCUCCAAUGACUCGUGAGUAGUUCACUUCAGACCUACGGGUCCGUAGUUAGUAGCUAGAUGGCUUCUUCUCUCUCUUGGAUCUUCAAUACAAAGUUCUCCAUGAUCUUCAUGGAGAUCUAUCCGAUGUAAUCUUCUUUGGCGGUGUGUUUGUCGAGAUCCAUGAAUUGUGGAUUGGUGAUCAGAUUAUCUCUGAUAUAUAUUUGAGUCUUUGCUGAUUUCUUAUAUGCAUGAUUUGAUANNNNNNNNNNUUCUUUGCUGAUUUAUUAUAUGCAUGAUUUGAUAUCCUUGUAAGUCUCUCCGAGUCUUGGGUUNNNNNNNNNNAUCCGAUAAAUUGUGGAUUUGUGAUCAGAUUAUCUAUGAUAUAUAUUUGAGUCUUUGCUGAUUUCUUAUAUGCAUGAUUUGAUANNNNNNNNNNGGUUUUGCUGAUUUCUUAUAUGCAUGAUUUGAUAUCCUUGUAAGUCUAUCCGAGUCUUGGGUUUUGUUUGGCCAACUAGAUCUAUGAUUCUUGCAAUGGGAGAAGUGCUUGGUUUUGGGUUCUGCCAUGUGGUGACCUUUCCCAGUGACAGUAGGGGCAGCAAGGCACACAUCAAGUAGUUGCCAUCAAGGGUAAAAAGAUGGGGUUUUUNNNNNNNNNNNNNNNNNNNNNNNNNNNNNNNNNNNNNNNNNNUAAGGCGUUACUCUAUUAUUAUGGACUUAAUACACUAGAUGCAUGCUGGAUAGCGGUCGACGUGUGGAGUAAUAGUAGUAGAUGCAGACAGUAUCGUUCUACUUGUUUUGGACGUGAUGCCUAUAGAAAUAAUCAUUGCAUAGAUAUCAUCACGACUUUUUGCGGUUCUAUCAAUGCUACAUCACCCUUUCUGCUUCGAGGGAACACCAAUGCAAGGCUCCAAGGCCAUGGGGGAAAUCCUUUGCAUACUUGCCUAGGAAGUCCCUUAAGGCGUAGCNNNNNNNNNNCGGACGUGAUGCCUAUAGAAAUAAUCAUUGCAUAGAUAUCGUCGUGACUUUGCGCGGUUCUAUCAAUUGCUCGACAGUAAUUUGUUCAUCCACCGUCUACUUGCUUUCAUGAGAGAAGCCACUAGUAAACACAACGGCCCCCGGGUCUAUUCACAUCCAUCGUUUACAUCUCCGCUUUUACUUUGCUUUGUUACUUUGUUGCUUUCAGUUNNNNNNNNNNNNNNNNNNNNNNNNNNNNNNNNNNNNNNNNNNNNNNNNNNNNNNNNNNNNNNNNNNNNNNNNNNNNNNNNNNNNNNNNNNNNNNNNNNNNCCUAGGUCCUUCAUAGAGAAACUUUUAUUCAAGUAACCUUUUAUGCUCUCCAAAAGCUCUACGUUGUUUCCAAUCAGCAAUAUGUCAUCCACAUAUAAUAUUAGAAACGCCAUAGAGCUCCCACUCACUUUCUUGUAAAUACAAGAUUCUCCAACCACUUGUAUAAACCCAAAUGCUUUAAUCACCUCAUCAAAGCGCUUGUUCCAACUCCGAGAUGCUUGCGCCAGUCCAUAAAUGGAUCGCUGGAGCUUGCACACCUUGUCAGCAUUUUUAGGAUCGACAAAACCUUCGGUUGCAUCAUAUACAACUCUUCCUUAAGGAAACCAUUAAGGAAUGCCGUUUUGACAUCCAUCUGCCAGAUUUCAUAAUCGAAAAAUGCAGCUAUUGCUAACAUGAUUCUGACGGACUUAAGCAUCGCUACGGGUGAGAAGGUCUCAUCGUAGUCAACUCCUGGAACUUGUGAAAAACCCCUUGCCACAAGUCGAGCUUUAUAAACGGUCACAUUACCGUCAGCGUCCGNNNNNNNNNNAAUCGAAAAAACCUUCGGGUUGCAUCAUAUACAACUCUUCCUUAAGGAAACCGUUAAGGAACGCCGUUUUGACAUCCAUCUGCCAGAUUUCAUAAUCGAAAAAUGCAGCUAUUGCUAACAUGAUUCUUACGGACUUAAGCAUCGCUACGGGAGAGAAAGUCUCAUCGUAGUCAAUUCCUGGAACUUGUGAAAAACCCUUUGCCACAAGUCGAGCUUUAUAAACGGUCACAUUACCGUCAGCGUCCGNNNNNNNNNNNNNNNNNNNNNNNNNNNNNNNNNNNNNNNNNNNNNNNNNNNNNNNNNNNNNNNNNNNNNNNNNNNNNNNNNNNNNNNNNNNNNNNNNNNNGCAAUAAACAAGAUCCAGAUAUAAUGUUCAUGCUCAACGCACGCACUAAAUAACAAUGAUUUAAGUUCAUCACUAAUCCCGAUGGUAGUUGAAGUGACACUGCACCGACGGCGAUUGCAUCAACCUUGGAACCGUUUCCUACGCGCAUCGUCACUUCGUCUUUCGUCAGCCUUCGUCUAUUCCGCAGUUCCUGCUUCGAGUUGCAAAUGUGAGCAACAGAACCGGUAUCGAAUACCCAGGCACUACUACGAGAGCCGGUUAAGUACACAUCAAUAACAUGUAUAUCAAAUAUACCUGAUUUUUCUUUGCCCGCCUUCUUAUCUGCCAGAUACUUGGGGCAAUUGCGCUUCCAGUGACCCAUACCCUUGCAAUAGAAGCACUCUGUUUCAGGCUUAGGUCCAGCCAUGGGUUUCUUCGGCGGAUUGGCAACAGGCUUGCCGCUCUUCUUCGAAUUGCCCUUCUUGCCUUUGCUGUUUCUCUUGAAACUAGUGGUCUUGCUCACCAUCAACACUUGAUGCUCUUUUCGGAGUUCUGACUCUCCGACUUUCAGCAUCGCAAACAACUCGCCGGGAGACUUGUUCAUCCCUUGCAUGUUGUAGUUCAACACAAAGCCUUUAAAGCUUGGCGGCAGUGAUUGGAGGAUUCUGUUAGUGAUAGCUUCUUGCGGGAGUUCAAUCCCCAGUUCAGCUAGACGGUUUGAGUACCCAGACAUUUUGAGCACAUGUUCACUGACAGACGAGUUUUCCUCCAUCUUGCAAGCAUAGAAUUUAUCGGAGGUCUCAUACCUCUCGAUCCGGGCGUUCUUCUGAAAGAUAAACUUCAACUCCUGGAACAUCUCAAAUGCUCCAUGACGCUCAAAGCGACGUUGAAGUCCCGGCUCUAAGCCAUACAAGACUGCACAUUGAACUAUUGAGUAGUCCUCCUUACGUGCUAACCAAGCGUUCUUAACAUCCUGAUCAGCCGUAGCGGGUGGUUCAUCUCCUAGCGCAGCAUUAUGGACAUAAUCCUUCUUUCCAGCUUGUAAGAUUAGCUUAAGAUUACGAGCCCAGUCUACAAAGUUGCUUCCAUCAUCUUUCAACUUAGCUUUCUCUAGGAACGUAUUAAAAUUCAGGAUGACACUUGCGUGAGCCAUGAUCUACAACACAAAUAUAUUCAAAAUGGACUUAGACUAUGUUCAAGAUAAUUAGAGUUCAACUUAAUCAAAUUAUAUGCUAAACUCCCACUCAAAAAGUACAUCUCUCUAGUCAUUUGAGUGGUUCAUGAUCCACUUACACUAUCCCAAGUCCGAUCAUCANNNNNNNNNNNNNNNNNNNNNNNNNNNNNNNNNNNNNNNNNNNNNNNNNNNNNNNNNNNNNNNNNNNNNNNNNNNNNNNNNNNNNNNNNNNNNNNNNNNNCAUUGGUUUGAGUUUAUCCCUCUACAUCAUGUCAUCUUGCUUAAGGCGUUACUCUGUUCGUCAUGAACUCAAUACACUAGAUGCAUGCUGGAUAGAGGUCGAUGUGUGGAGUAAUAGUAGUAGAUGCAGAAAGUAUCGAUCUACUUGUCUCGGACGUGAUGCCUAUAUGUAUGAUCAUUGCCUUAGAUAUCGUCAUGACUUUGCGCGGUUAUAUCAAUUGCUCGACAGUAAUUUGUUCAUCCAUUGUAUUAUUUGCUAUUUUGAGAGAAGCCUCUAGUGAACACUAUGGCCCCCGGGUCUACUUCACACCAUAUUUUCAGCCUUACACUUUUACUUCGUUGCACUUUCCUCCUUCAGAUCUCACUUUGCAAUCAAUCUUGAAGGGAUUGACAACCCCUUUAUAGCAUUGGGUGCAAGCUCUUUUGUGUUUGCGCAGGUAAUCUGGACUUGACGCGAUUCUCCUACUGGAUUGAUACCUUGGUUCUCAAACUGAGGGAAAUACUUACUGCUCAUGUGCUGCAUCACCCUUUCCUCUUCAAGGGAAAAACCAACGCAAGCCCAGUCUCCGUCAACGUGCCAAUCUCUGGCGCUGUUGUCUGUUGCCGUAGCACCCCCUCCAGGGGGACUGGGCGAGCUGUUCAGUUUCGGGUCUACUGAGCGGCCUCGAAGUGCAAGGAUACCUUCCUGCUUCAGAUCUAACAUCCACCUGCCCCGGAUUAACUUCCACGAACGGUGAGGCCCUUGCAGAGAACUUCCCAACUCCUUGCAAGGAAGAGAGGGUAUGCUUCGUUCCCAUCCUCUUAUGAGGUUUAGGCUUCCCAUUCACCCCUUCUUAAUGGGCCUGCUAGAGUUUUACGGGAUCUAGCUUCAUCAUCUUACUCCUGGAUCCAUUCUUCAUAUUUAUGGCUAUGUUGCCCUUUGCGAGAUGUUCUUAGGAUGCGGGACCCAUUUUGAACCGGGGAGGAAAAAUUUCUGCCUUGUCCCUCGCACACGAGGAGGGAAUGUUUUUUAGGUAGGCGGAGCCGAAGUGUGGCGCAUAGGUGGGACGGGGUAUCCUAUUGGGACUCCAAAGAAGGAUUCCGAAGAAUGGACCUUAGAGUGGUUUUAUAUCAAGGAUGUCCCCCUAUUUGAUCCAUCUUGGAGGGGUCUACCCGAAUAUUCAAAUGUUCCUUGAUGUCUACUACACAACUUUAUUAUUGUAGACUACGUUGGGCCUCCAAGUGUAGAGUUUUGUAGGACAGUAGCAAUUUCCCCUCAAGUGGAUGACCUAAGGUUUAUCAAUCCAUGGAAGGUGUAGGAUGAAGAUGGUCUCUCUCAAACAACCGUGCAAUCAAAUACAAAAAAUAUCUAGUGUCCCCAACACACCCAAUACAAUGGAAAAUUGUAUAGGUGCACUAGUUCGGUGAAGAGAUGGUGAUACAAGUGUAAUAUGGAUAGUAGAUAUAGGUUUUUGUAAUCUUAAAAUAUAAGAACAACGAGGUAGCAUGUUUAAAACAAUGAGAAAAACAUUGUAUAAAUGCUUGGUAAUAGGGCCUAGGGUUCGUACUUUCACUAGUGCAAUCUCUCAACAAUGUUAACAUAGUAGAAUCAUAUGAUCAUCCCUCAACGUGCAACAAAGAGUCACUCCAAAGUUCCUAUAUAAUGGAGAACAAUAAGAUGAAAUUGAUGUAGGUAAUAGAACCAUCUCAUAGUAUUCAUGCCAUGUUUACAAUAGUUAUAUAUGAUUUUAGUACGACUUUUUUAGAACUAACUCGGACUGACGUUGUUUUCAGCAAAACUACCAUGGUGUCAUUUUUUGUGCAAAAAUAAAGUUCUCGGAAUGGGCUGAAAAUUUACGGUGAUUUUUAUGGACCAAAAGAGACCCCCGAAGCACCAGAGCUGGGCCAGGAAGUGGAUGAGGAAGCCACAAGCCUACUGGACGCGGCCACCCCCUAGGUCGCGCCCCCUGGCUUGUGACUUCCUCGGGGAACCUUCCGAAUGUGAGACCGACGCCAAAAGUUCCUAUAAAUACCAAAAACCCAAGAAAGAAACCUAGAUCGGGAGUUUCGCCGCCGCAAGCCUCCAGAGCCAUGAAAAAACAAUCUUGGCCCUCUCCGACACCCUGCUGGAGGGGGUCAUCUUCAUCGGAGGCCAUCUUCAUCAUCCCGACGAUCUCCAUAAUUGCCAUGGAGGCCACUCAAGGGGGAGACCAUGGAGGAGGAAGCACAAGGGGGAAAACCUUUCUCUCUCUCUCUUGGUGGCGCCGGAGUGGCAUCGGGGGAACCAUCGCCGUGAUGAUCGUCUUCACCAACAUCACCUUUUUCAUCACCAUCAUCAUCUCCUUUCAGCGGUCCACUCUCACGCACCUCACUGUAAUCCCCUACUCGAACAUGGUGCUUUAUGCCGCAUAUUAUGAUUUAGUGAUGUGUUGCCAUCCUAUGAUGUUUGAGUAGAUUUAUUUUGUCCUUUGGGUUGAUUGAUGAUCUAGAUUGGUGUGAGUUCUAUAUUUAUUUUGGUGUUGUCGUAUGGUGCCUUCCAUGAUGCGCACACGUGAAAGAUUCCUGUUGUAGGGUGUUGCAAUGCGUUCAUGAUUCGCUUAUAGUGGGUUGCUUGAGUGACAGAAGCACAAACCCGAGUAAGGGGGUUGUUGCAUAUGGGAUAAAGGGGACUUGAUACUUUAAUGGUAUGGUUGGGUUUUACCUUAAUGAUCUUUAGUAGUUGCGGAUGCUUGCUAGAGUUCCAAUCAUAAGUGCAUAUGAUCCAAGUAGAUAAAAUAUGUUAGCUUAUGCCUCUCCCUCAUAUAAAAUUGCAAUAAUGAUUACCGAUCUUGUUAACAAUUGCCUAGGACAAUUCCGCACANNNNNNNNNNNNNNNNNNNNNNNNNNNNNNNNNNNNNNNNNNNNNNNNNNNNNNNNNNNNNNNNNNNNNNNNNNNNNNNNNNNNNNNNNNNNNNNNNNNNNNNNNNNNNNNNNNNNNNNNNNNNNNNNNNNNNNNNNNNNNNNNNNNNNNNNNNNNNNNNNNNNNNNNNNNNNNNNNNNNNNNNNNNNNNUUAUUCUAGUUCUCCAUUAUCAUGCAAAGCUAUUCUCUUCAUACCCACAACAUAGUUUUAUUUCUCGUUUUUAGUUGGAAGCAAACGUUCGGCGUACGUAGAGUCGUAUCAUUGGCAAAUAGGACAUGAGAUAAUAUUGAUCUUACCUUUAGCUCCUUGUGGGUUCGACACUCCAUACUUAUCACUUCCACCUUUGGAAAUUGCUACUAUGAUUCCUUGCACUGGGGGAUUAUCAAGCUCUUUUCUGGCGCCGUUGUGGGAAGCAAUAGCAUGGGGUUGGUAUUCUUGUGUGUGUUUAUUUGCUUUCUUCACUAAGUAGAUUUUGUUUCCCCUUUUUGGUUUAUUUAGUUGUGGGUGAAACAAAAAAAAUGAAAAAUAUAAAAAGAAUUACUUGCCCCUUAUGCCUAAGAAGUUUUUCAAAAAGAGAAGUGAUUAGAAAGUUGUGCAUUGGAGAAGUGAUGAUCGACCUUGAACACUUGUGUUCAUGCUGAUGAAAAAAAUGUAGAAUUUUUCAUGGAAGUUUCUCAAAAAUAAUUAUCCCCAUGUAUAUAUCCUUUGUAUUAUAAAAAUAAUGUGUCAAGAUUUGGUUUUAGGAUGAUUAGAUAGCUUGUUUUCUUUGCGCGGUGCAAAAACAGAAACUUUGACUGUAGUGCAUGAAUUUUAUUUUUUUACUGGAUCGUCAAAAGUUUCCGAAAAUUUUAAAAAGUACUACUAUAAUUUUUUUUUAAUUUUUUCCUAAAUUUUCAGAAUUUUUUGAGUUACAUAAGUAUGUGAAGUUUCCAAAAUGCUAUAGACUGUUGUGUUGUUGACAGAUUAUGUUUCCUAUGCAUUGUUCUCUUAUUUUGAUGAAUCUAUGGAUAAUACCGGGGGGUAUGAACCAUGGUAAAGUUGGACUACAAUAUAUAUAAUGCUAAUAUGAAUUUGGAAUGAGUUCACAACAGUACUUAAAGUAGUAUUUUUCUUUAUUAUACUAACGGAUCUCACGAGGGUUUUGUUAAUUUUUGUAUGAAUAAAGUGUUCGAAGAUCGACGGUAUCGAUAAAAGAAGAAUACGGAGAUACAAGAGUUCAAACUUGGGGAUUUCCAAGGCACCCCAAGUAAAUAUUUCAAGUAGGCUCAAGCAUCUAAGCUUGGGGAUGCCCCGGAAGGUAUCCCAUCUUUAUUCUUCGAUAAUUAUCGGUAUACCUCGGUUUUUGUUUUGUUCACAUGAUAUGCGUAUUUAGUGUUUUUCUUCUCCUUUUAUGCACCCUUAUAGUAUGAGGUAGUCCUUCAUUGAUUUAUAAAAUACUUCAUGAUCUUCACUUAAAUCUUUUGAGUAUAGCUUUGUAGAAUACUCUUUGUGCUUCACUUAAAUCUUUUGAGUAUGGCUUUGUAGAAUGCUCUUUGUGCUUCACUUAAAUCUUUUGAGUAUGGCCUUAUAGAAUGUUUCGUGUGCUUCACUUAUAUAUUUUAAGCUUGGAUAUUGGUUGAUCUAUAUUAAUUGUAGAAUGCUCUAUGAACUUCACUUAUAUCUUUUAGAGUAUGAAUAAAAUUUCCGUCGGAAUUGGGCUUGGAAGUGUAUCAAUGUCAUGCCUAGCUAGAAAGGCUUUAAAGAAAAGCUUGUUGGGAGAUGAUACGUCCAUUUUGCAUCAUGUUUUCAUGUCGAUAUUUAUAGCUUCUUUGGCUGUUAUUUCACUUCAUGGUACUAUCCUUAUGCCUUUUCUCUCUUAUUUUGCAAGGUUUACAUGAAGAGGGAGAAUACCGACAACUUGAAUUCUGGCCUGAAAGUGGAGCGAAGUUGAGAUACCUAUUCUGCGCAACUCCAAACGCCGUGAAAAUCAACGGGGAUUUUUUUCCCAAUAUAUAAAAAAUACUGGGCCGAAGAAGUACCGGAGGGNNNNNNNNNNUACCUUCGGAGAUACCUGUAGAGCAUCUUUAUAGUCAUCCAUUUACGUUGCGACGUUUGAUACACACAAAGCAUUCCUCCGGUGUCAGUGAGUUAUAUGAUCUCAUGGUCAUAGGAAUAAAUACUUGACACGCAGAAAACAGUAGCAACAAAAUGACACGAUCAACAUGCUACGUCUAUUAGUUUGGGUCUAGUCCAUCACGUGAUUCUCCCAAUGACAUGAUCCAGUUAUCAAGCAACAACACCUUGUUCAUAAUCAGAAGACACUGACUAUCAUCGAUCAACUGGCUAGCCAACUAGAGGCAUGCUAGGGACGGUGUUUUGUCUAUGUAUCCACACAUGUAAAUGAGUCUUCAUUCAAUACAAUUAUAGCAUGGAUAAUAAACUAUUAUCUUGAUACAGGAAUUAUAAUAAUAACUAUACAUUUAUUAUUGCCUCUAGGGCAUAAUUCCAACAGUCUCCCACUUGCACUAGAGUCAAUAAUCUAGCCCUCACAUCACCAUGUGAAUUACAUUGUAAUAAAUCUAACACCCAUACAGUUUGGUGUCGAUCAUGUUUUGGCCAUGGAAGAGGUUUAGUCAGCGGGUCUGCUACAUUCAGAUCCGUGUGCACUUUGCAUAUAUUUACGUCCUCCUCCUCGACGUAGUCGCGGAUGAGGUUGAAGCGUCGUUUGAUGUGUCUGGUCUUCUUGUGAAACCUUGGUUCCUUUGCUAAGGCAAUGGCACCAGUAUUGUCACAGAACAAGGUUAUUGGAUCCAGUGCACUUGGCACCACUCCAAGAUCCGUCAUGAANNNNNNNNNNUAGAGAUCCCUUAGCAUGUGACGAUUGCUUCCACCUCAUACUAGCCAAAACUCCCGCACUAAGUAGAGAUACUACUUGUGCAUCCAUAAUCCUUCAAACCAGUUUUGCCAUGAGUGUCCACCAUACCUACCUAUGGAUUGAAUAAGAUCCCUCAAGUAAGUUGUCAUCGGUGCAAGCAAUAAAAAUUGUUCUCUAAUAUGUAUGAUCUAUUAGUGUGUGGAAAAUAAGCUUCGUACAAACGUGUGAUGAGGAAGACAUAAAAGUGACACACUGCAUAAUAAAGUUCUUUAUCAUAGGGGGCAAUACAAAGUGACAUUCCUCCGCACUAAGAGGACACGCAUCCAAACCUCAAAAGCGCAUGACAACCUCUGCUUCCCUCUGCGAAGGGCCUAUCUUGUACCUUUACUUUUUGCCCUUGAAAGAGUCAUGGUGAUCUUCACCAAUUCCUUAUUUUUCCUUUGUCUUGGCUACCGUCAUAUGCUUGGGAAAGAUCUAUAUUCAUAUGUCAACUUGGAGGUAAGUAUUCAUGAAUUAUUAUUGUUGACAUUACCCUUGAGGUAAGCAGUUGGGAGGCAAAACUACAAGCCCCUAUCUUUCUCUGUGUCCAGCUGAAACUUUGAUCUCAUGAGUACCCCGUGAGUUGUAGCAAUUGUAGAGAAUGAAAGAAUGAUUGAGUAUGUGGAUUUUAUUUACAAGCUCUUAUUUGACUCUUUCUGAUGUUGUGAUAAAUUACAAUUGCUUCAAUGACUAAAGGCUAUCGGUUGUUACUUCUCGGUAAGGUUCUUGAUCCAUGCUUUACAUUGUGAAGGAAUUAUCACUUUAGCAUGAGAGAUUAUAUGUUGGUAUUGAUGUUCUCAUAAUGAUCUUGAUGCUUGCAUGUUCGUAUCUUGUUUUGUCGACACCUCUCUCCCUAAACAUGUGGACAUAUUUAUUGAGCUCAGCUUUCGCUUGAGGACAAGCGAGGUCUAAGCUUGGGGGAGUUGAUACGUCCAUUUUGCAUCAUGUUUUCAUGUUGAUAUUUAUCGCUUCUUUGGUUGUUAUUUAACUUCAUGGUACUAUUCUUAUUCCUUUUCUCUCUUAUUUUGCAAGGUUUACAUGAAGAGGGAGAAUACCGGCAACUUGAAUUCUGGCCUGAAAGUGGAGCGAAGUUGAGAUACCUAUUAUGCGCAACUCCAAACGCCGUGAAAAUCAAUGGGGAUUUUUUCCCAAUAUAUAAAAAAUACUGGGCCGAAGAAGUACCGGAGGGNNNNNNNNNNUGCCAUGGGGGCUUGUGGGCAGCCCACUGGCCCACUGGCCCCCCUCAUUUGCUAUAUGGAGGGUUUCGUCCAGAAAAAAAUCACGGGGGAGCUUUUUCAUGGUUUCGCCGCCGCCACGAGGCGGAACUUGAGCAGAACCAAUCUAGANNNNNNNNNNGCACCAGGGGGUGCCCACAAGCCUGCACGGCGCGGCCACCCCCCCAGGCCGCGCCAUGGGGGCUUGUGGGCGGCCCACUGGCCCACUGGCCCCCCUCUUUUGCUAUAUGGAGGGUUUCGUCCAGAAAAAAAAUCACAGGGGAGCUUUUUCGUGGUUUCGCCGCCGCCACGAGGCGGAACUUGAGCAGAACCAAUCUAGAGCUCCGCUAGGACGAUCCUGUCGGGGAAACUUCCCUCCCGGAGGGGGAAAUCGUCGCCAUCAUCAUCACCAACACUCCUCUCAUCGGAGGGGACUCGUCACCAUCAACAUCUUCAUCAGCACCAUCUCAUCUCCAAACCCUAGUUCAUCUCUUGUAACCAAUCUCCGUCUCGCGACUCCGAUUGGUACUUGUAAGGUUGCUAGUAGUGUUGAUUACUCUUUGUAGUUGAUGCUAGUUGGAUUACUUGGUGGAAGAGUUUAUGGUCAGAUCCUUGAUGCUACUCAUUACACCUCUGAUCAUCAUAAUGAUUAUGCUUUGUGAGUAGUUACUUUUGUUCCUGAGGACAUGGGAUAAGUAAUGCUAAUAAUAGUCAUAUGAAUUUGGCAUUCGUUCGGUAUUUUGAUAUGUUGUAUGUUGUUUUUCCUCUAGUGGUGUUAUGUGAACGUCGACUACAUAACACUUCACCAUUAUUUGGGCCUAGAGGAAGGCAUUGAGAAGUAGUAAGUACAUGAUGGGUUGCUAGAGUGACAGAAGCUUAAACCCUAGUUUAUGCGUUNNNNNNNNNNCUUAUGUGAACGUCGACUACAUAACACUUCACCAUUAUUUGUGCCUAGAGGAAGGCAUUGAGAAGUAGUAAGUAGAUGAUGGGUUGCUAGAGUGACAGAAGCUUAAACCCUAGUUUAUGCGUUNNNNNNNNNNCGGUUAGACUUUGUCUUAAUUCUUCUUUCAUAGUUGCAGAUGCUUGCGAGAGGGGUUAAUCAUAAGUGGGAUGCUUGUCCAAGUAAGGGCAGUACCCAAGCGCCGGUCCACCCACAUAUCAAACUAUCAAAGUAACGAAUGUGAAUCAUAUGAACAUGAUGAAACUAGCAUGACAGAAAUUCCCGUGUGUCCUUGGGAGCGUUUUUCCUCUUGUAAGACUUUGUCCAGGCUUGUCCCUUGCUACAAAAGGGAUUGGGACACUUUGCUGCACCGUUGCUACUUUUGUUAUUUGUUGCUUGCUACGAAUCAUCUCACCACACAAUCACUUGUUACCAACAAUUUCAGUGCUUGCAGAUUGAUACGUCUCAAACGUAUCUAUAAUUUUUGAUGGUUUCACGCUGUUAUCUUGUCUUCUUUGGUUGUUUUAUGUACCUUUUAUAUCUUUUUUGGGACUAACUUAUUAAUUCAGUGCCAAGUGACAGUUCCUGUUUUUUCCGUGUUUUUGACUCUUUUCGGAUAUGAUUUUGGAACGGAGUCCAAACGGAAGAAAAACCCCGAAAUGAUUUUNNNNNNNNNNUGGUUAGACUUUGUCUUAAUUCUUAUUUCGUAGUUGCGGAUGCUUGCGAGAGGGGUUAAUCAUAAGUGCGAUUCUUGUCCAAGUAUGGGCAGUACCCAAGCGCCGGUCCACCCACAUAUCAAACUAUCAAAGUAACGAACGCGGAUCAUAUGAACAUGAUGAAACUAGCAUGACAUAAAUUCCCGUGUGUCCUCAGGAGCGUUUUUCCUCUUGUAAGACUUUGUCUAGGUUUGUCCCUUGCUACAAAAGGGACUGGGCCACUUUGCUGCAGUGUUGCUACUUUUGUUACUUGUUGCUUGCUACGAAUCAUCUCACCACACAAUCACUUGUUACCGACAAUUUCAGUGCUUGCAGAUUUUUCCUUGCUGAAAACCACUUGUCAGAUCCUUCUGCUCCUCGNNNNNNNNNNUGGACAUGAUGCCUAUAGAAAUAAUCAUUGCAUAGAUAUCGUCACGACUUUACGCGGUUCUAUCAAUUGCUCGACGGUAAUUUGUUCACCCACCAUCUACUUGCUUUCAUGAGAGAAGCCACUAGUAAACACUACGGUCCCCGGGUCUAUUCACAUCCAUCAUUUACAUCUCCGCUUUUACUUUGCUUUGUUACUUUGUUGCUUUCAGUUCUCACUUGGCAAACAAUCUAUAAGGGAUUGACAACCCCUUCAUAGAGUUGGGAGCAAGUUUUUGUGUUUGUGCAGGAUCUUGAGAUACUCCUCCACUGGAUUGAUACCUUGGUUCUCAAACUGAGGGAAAUACUUACCACCGCUACGCUACAUCACCCUUUCCGCUUUGAGGGAACACCAACACAAGGCUCCAAGGCCACGGGGGAAAUCCUUUGCAUACUUGCCUAGGAANNNNNNNNNNAACUGGAUUGAUAUCUUGGUUCUCAAACUGAGGGAAAUACUUACCACCGCUAUGCUACAUCACCCUUUCUGCUUCGGGGGAACACCAACGCAAGGCUCCAAGGCCACGGGGGAAAUCCUUUGCAUACUUGCCUAGGAAGUCCCUUAAGGCGUAGCCGCAGCAGAAAGAUCAAGCCAAGUAUUCUCCCGUCGACGUGCCUAUUUCUGGCGCGUUGGAAGGUCUUUUGUUGCAGUAGUAGUGCACAAAACCCACCAUUAGCCUCCCUCAAAACAGCAUGAUUGUAAGAUAGCUAGCAUGAUGUUUCCAUUGAUGCCUAUGCCAUGCUAGAUCAUUCCCACGGUACACUACCGAAGGCAUUCCAAAUAGAGUCAUCGUUACUCUAAAUUUUGAGUUGAAAGUGUGAUGAUCAUCAUUAAUGGAGCAUUGUCCCAUGUGAGGAAAUAAAAGAGGCCAAAGAAGCCCACCAAAAUAUAAACAAAGGCCAAAGAGCCCACCAAAUAAAAAAUGAGAGAAAAAGAGAGAAGGGACAAUGCUACCACUUUUUCCACACUUGUGCAUAAUAAGCACCAUGAUCUUCAUGAUUGAGAGUCUCUCGUUUUGUCACCACCAUAUAGCUAGUGGGAAAUUUUCAUUAUAUAACUAGGCUUGUAUAUUCCUAUGAUAGGCUUCCUCAAAAUUGCCUUAGGUCUUCGUGAGCAAGCAAGUUGGAUGCACACCCACUAGUUUUCUUUAAGAGCUUUCACAUACUCAUAGCUCUAGUGCAUCAAUUGUAUGGCAAUCCCUACUCAUUCACAUUGAUAUCUAUUGAUGAGCACCUCCACGGCUCAUUGAUAUGCCUAGUUAAUGUGACUAUCUUCUCCUUUUUGUCUUGCAACCUCCACUACAUUCCACACCACCUAUAGUACUAUAACCAUGGCUCACGCUCAUGUAUUGCGUGAGAGUUGAAAAGGUUUGAGAAAGUAAAGGUGUGAAACAAUUACUUGGCCCAUACCGGGGUUGUGCAUGAUUUAAAUUCAUUGUGCAAUGAUGAUAGAGCAUAGCCAGACUAUAUGCUUUUGUAGGGAUAACUUUCUUUUGGCCUUGUUAUUUUGAAAGUUCAUGACUACUUUGCUAGUUUGCUUGAAUUAUUAUUGUUUCCACGUCAAUAGAAAACUAUUGUUUUGAAUCUAAUGGAUCUAAACAUUCACAUCACAUAAGAGGAAUUACAAAGGACACCUAUGCUAGGUAGCAUGAAAGCAUCAAAAAUUCAUUCUUAUCACUUCCCUACUCGAGGACGAGCAGAAGUUAAGCUUGGGGAUGCUUGAUACGUCUCAAACGUAUCUAUAAUUUUUUAUGGUUUCACGUUGUUAUCUUGUCUUCUUUGGUUGUUUUAUGUACCUUUUAUAUCUUUUUGGGGACUAACUUAUUAAUUCAGUGCCAAGUGCCACUUCCUGUUUUUUCUGUGUUUUUGACUCUUUUCAUAUCUGAUUUUGGAACGGAGUCCAAACGGAAGAAAAACCCCGAAAUGAUUUUUUCCCGAACGGAAGAAGAUCAGGGGGCCUUUGGGCCAACCCAGGUGGGCUCCAAGGAGCCCACAAGCUCCCACCACGCCACCAGGGGGGAGGCGGCGGUAGGCAGGCUUGUGGCCACCCUCGCCGCCCCCUGACCUAGAUCUUUGGCCUAUAAAUUCCAAAUAUUCCGCAAAAAAUCAGGGGAGCCUCGAAAAUACUUUUCCGCCGCCGCAAGCUUCCGUUUCCGCGAUAUCUCAUCUGGAGACCCUUCCCGGCACCUUGCCGGAGGGGACUUUGGANNNNNNNNNNUCCCACCACGCCACCAGGGGGAGGCGGCGGUGGGCAGGCUUGUGGCCUCCCUGGCCGCCCCCUGACCUAGAUCUUUGGCCUAUAAAUUCCCAAAUAUUCCGCAAAAAAUCAAGGGAGCCUCGAAAAUACUUUUCCGCCACCGCAAGCUUCCGUUUCCACGAGAUCUCAUCUCGAGACCCUUCCCGGCACCCUGCCGGAGGGGACUUUGGAGUUGGAGGGCUUGUUCAUCAUCAUCAUCGCCCCUCCAAUGACUCAUGAGUAGUUCACUUCAGACCUACGGGUCCGUAGUUAGUAUCUAGAUGGCUUCUUCUCUCUCUUGGAUCUUCAAUACAAAGUUCUCCGUGAUCUUCAUGGAGAUNNNNNNNNNNCGUUGGAAGGUCUUUUGUUGCAGUAGCACAGAUUUUUCCUUGCUGAAAACCACUUGUCAGAUCCUUCUGCUCCUCGUUGGGUUCGACACUCUUACUUAUCGAAAGGACUACGAUUGAUCCCCUAUACUUGUGGGUCAUCAGGAGACAACCCAACACUUUUACUUUUUGUUUUUUGGUGUUCGCAUGAUUAAGCUACUGUAUUAAUCAUGUUUUAUGCUUUUUAUUUCAAUAAAAUGCCAAGUAAAGCCUUUGGGAUAGUGUAGGUGACAGUUGACUUGAUUCCGUGCAAAAAACAGAAACUUUUGCUCUCAGUCCAGAAAUUUUGUAAAUCCACUAGAACGUGAUUUUGAUCUGAAUUUUUUACACAUGAUUGAUAUACAAAUUGCUUGGAUUUUCCUAAUGUUUCAGAAUUUUUAGAGACACAGAAGUAUGGUUACAUUACAGAUCUUCACACACUGUUCUGUUUUUGACAGAUUCUGUUUUGCAUGCAUAGUUUGCUUUUUUUAUUAUUUCCAUAGCUUAUAUUCAGUGAUAUAAAUUACGGGGUGGUAGAAUGCAGUAGGUAUCAUGUUAGAACAAUUAUGAAUCUUUUCUUGAUAGUACCUAAGUGAAUGUUCAUUAUUUUUUAUACUAACCCAUCUCACGAAGUUCCGUUAAGUUUUGUGUGAUUGAAGUUUUCAAGUUUUGGGAGACACCAAUAUGAGGAGAAUAAGGAGUGAAAAUAACCUAAGCUUGGGGAUGUCCAAGGCACACCCAAGGUAAUAUAUAAGUAAGACUCAAACUCUUAAGCUUGGGGAUGCCCCGAAAGGCAUCCCCUCUUUCGUCUUCAACAUUAUCGGUAUAUCUUACUUGGAGCUAUAUUUUUAUUCGUCACAUAAUAUGUGCUUUGCUUGUAUCGUCAUUAUAUUUUGUUAUUUUAUGUUAGGUGUUACUCAUAAUCUUGUUUUUCAAUAAAAAGCUUGAAAGGGCGUGGAUGUCGCCUAGAGGGGGGUGAAUAGGCGCUUUAAAAUAAUUACGGUUUAGGCUUGAACAAAUGCGGAAUAAAACUAACAUUUAAUUUAUCAAGCACAAAACCUAAAACAACUAGGCUCACCUAUGUGAACCAACAACUUAUGUUAAGCAAGAUAAACAACUAAGUGAUAGCAAGAUAUUUGACAAGAAACAAUAUGGCUAUCACAAAGUGCAUAAGUAAAGGGUUCGGGUAAGAAAUAACCAAGGCAUGCGGAGACGACGAUGUAUCCCGAAGUUCACACCCUUGCGGAUGCUAAUCUUCGUUUGGAGAGGUGCGGAGGCACAAUGCUCCCCAAGAUGCCACUAAGGCCACCGUCAUCUCCUAACGCCCUCGCACAAUGCAAGAUGUCGUGAUUCCACUAAGGGACCCUUGAGGGCGGUCACCGAACCCGUACAAACAAGGUUGGGGCAAUCUCCACAACUUAAUUGGAGGCUCCCAACAACACCACGAAGCUUCACCACAAUGUCAUAUGGCUUCGAGGUGACCACAAAUGCUCGGGGAAAUCUCCACAAGUUAAUUGGAGACCCCGACGCUUGCCCGGAGCUUUACACCACAAUGAUUGAGCUCUGAGGCACCACCAAGCUUCUAGGGGUACCAAGUACCCAAGGGUAAUAAGUUUUCUCAACUUCUCACUUUCACGUAUCACCAUGGAGAACUCAAACCAAUGCAACUAAUGCAAUGGCAAGAACACACGAAGUGGUCAAGUCCCUCACACUCAAAUCCCUCCACAACAACAAAAGUUGUGGAGAAAUAUCAGAGGAGGAACAAGGAGCUCACAAAGAACUCCAAGAUCAAGAUCCAAGGGGUUCCCCUCACAUAGAGGAGAAAGUGAUUGGUGGAGAUGUGGAUCUAGAUCUCCUCUCUCUUUUCCCUCAAGAACUAGUAAGAAUCAUUGGAGGGAUUGAGAGUUAGCAAGCUCUAAAAAGGUCAAUAAUGGGGAAGAACACGAGCUCAACAGAUGGAUUCGGUCCAAUGGGGAAGAAGACCCCCUUUAUAUAGUGGGGAAAAGAAUCCAACUGUUACCCCCACUCACACCCCGAGCGGAGCGGUACUAUCGCACGGUAGGAAAAAAAUUACUAUCGUGACUACCACCGCUGAGGUUGUAGAUGCAAAGAAAGUCCGAGGAAGCUUUACUACCGCCCGAGAUCGGUAGUAAAAAAACUACUACCGCUCUAGGAGCAGUACUACCGCUCGCACCAGGAGCGGUACUGCCGCUGGAUACUGAAACUGCCAUAACUUUCGCAUACGAACUCCGAAUCGAGCAAACUCAAGCUUGUUGAAUUCAGGACGGCAAGAGCUAUCGAACAGCGGUUAUGAAAAUUCCAAUUAUAUAGAUAUGUGAUACCUCUACGAAUGAAGAACCGGCAAAAAACUUCCAACGUCGAAAACAUCAUAGAAGAUGCAUAUGGACUCUGUUUUCGAUGAACUCGAGCAUGUCACGAAGAUGAACAUAAGCUCUAAAACUCACAAAGAGAAACACCAAACAAGAACCAAGAAAUAUGAUGCAAGGAUGCAAAUGGUUUGAGCUCUCAAUGAACGAUACGAUCAAGCUACUCACUUGAGAGCCCCCCUUGAUAAUACGACAAUCUAUCCUAAAAUAGAAAACCUAUCAAGGGCACCUAGUCCUGUUGAGCUAGAUGAUGAUGAUCUUUGCUUCCUCAAGAUGGACCACAUUUCUUGACUGUGUUGGUUUGAUGAAGACCGGUUGAUAGCCCCCCAUACUCACUAUGGGUGAGUGAUGUCUACGCACGCUUCUAUUCUUGUAGACUAUGUUGGGCCUCCAAGCGCAGAGGUUUGUAGGACAGCAGCAAUUUCCCUCAAGUGGAUGAACUAAGGUUUAUCAAACACAGGGAAGUAGAGGCUGAAGAUGGUUCUCUCAAGCAACCCUGCAACUAAGAUACAAGAAGUCUAUUGUGUCCCCAACACACCUAAUACAAUUGUCAGUUGUAUAGGUGCACUAGUUCGGCGAAGAGAUGUUAAAACGCAAGUGAUAUGGAUGGUAAAACAAGGUAUUGUAAAUCUGAAAUAAAAAUGGCAGCAAGAAAACAUGAAACAAAACUGGAAGUAAACGGUGUUCAGUGGUGGAAAACAAGGCCUAGGCUUCAUACUUUCACUAGGGACAACUCCCAACAACAUUAGCAUAGUCUAAUCACAUGAUAUUUCCACUAAAACAUGCAAUGGCGACAUACUCGGAGGUCAUUCCUUUGUGAUCAAGAGAGGACAAGAAUUAUGUAGGGCUACAAAAGCACACCUCAGAGUUCGUAGUUCUCAUCUAUGGAUUUCCCAAUGUCACCGCGGCCAUCCAAAGAGAGUACCACAAUCACCACAACUUAUCUCAAGGAUAGUCAAAGACAAGCACCAAGAGACUCUCAAUCUUCAAUCAAUUCACAAAAGAGAAAAUCACUCAUGAAAAUAUUCUUCUAAUCCAUGUCCAAUAGACCGCUGUCACCAUGGUCUCAAGGAUUAUACUAGAUAAGAUCAAGUGAGUACAUCAAUCCAAUACAUAGAAGAAGGGGAAACAUCAUGGGAUCACCCUAGGUUAACAUAACCUAUGAUCACAAUCAAGAUCACAUCAUGCGAGAGGGAAUUAACCACAUAGCUACACGUAGAGCCCUCAGCCCCGAGGGAGACUAGUCACACAUGGCCAUGGCGAGCAAGAGGUUGAUGGAAAGGUGCAGCCCGGAGGGGAGACGGCGGCCACGGCGGCGGCCACGACCCUUGGGGGUGGCGGCCCUUGGCCCCCUUCUUCCUUGGAGAUGGUGAUGGUAUGGAGGUGGUUCUCCACCCCAAGGCGGCUGCCUGGGAGGAGGAAAUCUUGUGGCUCUUGGUGGCUCUACAGGAAUUAGGUUUUUCCUCUCCUUAUAUGAGUCGCGACGAUCAUCCUUGGCCCUUCGAUGGAUGCCCAUUUGAUCCAAGGGCUCUUGGGCACCUCUAGAACCUUCCUAGGAACCCCUAUCAGCCCUAAUGAGGUCCCCAAGUCAUGGCUUGGGCGAAUCCAUCUAAUAUGGUAAGAGUUGGACUCAAUCACGUCACCGAUUCCCGUAAUCCUGUAAUCACAUAUUUGUCCUCCAGUAAAACGGGCUUUAUUGGAGCGUACAAACUCCAAAUGGGCCGAAUAUUAUGUCUAGAAUUAUUAGAAUAUAAUUCCCCACAACUUUUGCAUCUAUUAUUUUUCAUUUUACGUCAUCUUCGAGGCGGAAACAGACUAUCUCUAAAAACUGUAGGGGCAUAUUUCAGGAAAGUCAGAGUCCCACUCCAAUAAAGUUUCAUCUUCUGUUUUUGAUGGUUCCUACACACCAAAGUGUAAAACAAGAACAUUGUGCACUUUUGCAACUAUUAGUAGGUUAGUCCAAAUAAAUCAUAAACUUAAUAUAAAACAAUUCUCAAAAGCAUAAAAGUAGCAUGAAACCAUCAAAAAUUAUAGAUACGUUUUGGACGUAUGAGUGAGCCAUCGCUAUAUUGCUGAUGAUAACCACUUGAUGUCAUCCUUCAUAGGUUGAAUGGGAUCUUCCUCUUGACGCAAACCCAUGGAGACACACCUAACCCCACAUAGAACUCUCACGAAGACCAUGGGUUAGUACACAAAAGUGUUAUGGAUAAUGCUUACCAUACCAUGGGAUCACUUGAUCCCUCUCGGUACAUCUUGUACGCUUUGUGUGUUUAUCAUCUUGAUUUAUUCUUUGUCUUAGUCUUGAUCAAGCUUAUGUCUUUAUGACCAUUCUUUGGAUAAUACCUUGAAUACUACCUUGGUCAUCAUAUAAAGAAGUGAAUAUGGACAAAUCCUUAGAAUAUAACUCAAUGCAACCAUUAGUCCAUGGGAUUGUCAUUAAUUACCAAAACCACAUACAGAGAAAUAUGCUCUAACAAAGUUCCAAGAAUUGCCUUUAGGAUGCUUGCAUUGCAUGUUUGAUGUAUGCUGUGUAAAGACAGAGACUUUUAUUGUAGAGUUUGAAUUUUCAUAUUUUACUGGAACGUGGAAAGUUUCUGAAUUUUUUACACAGUGUUGUAAUAUAAAUUUUAUAGCAUUUCCUGAAUUUUCAUAAUUUUUUGAGUUACGAAAGUACACUGUUUUCAUAAAUUGCUACAGACCGUUCUGUUUGGACAGAUUGCUGUCAUAGUUUUGUUAUCUACUUAUCCUAUAGUUUCCAUAGCCUAUAUUGGUAGUUAUAAAUUGUGGAAAUAAUAGUAUACAUUACCCAAUUUUUGGAAAUUAUUGUGCAACUUGUCUUGGUAGUACAUGAAGUGUUGAUUUGUUCUUAUGUGUACUAACCUAUCUCACGAGUUCUUUUUGAGUUUUGUGUGGAUGAAGUUUUUGAGAAUAGGUGAAACCGGGAUAUGAGAAGAUUGAACAAGAUACAAAAGCUCAAGCUUGGGGAUGCCCAAGGCACCCCAAGUUAAUAUUUCAAGAACUCUCAAGCAUCUACUUGUAUCCUAUGAGUAAAUGGUUGAAUGAAUUGAAUAUCAUAAAUCUAAAAUUAUAUAUGUUUUUUAUGCUUAUCCCAUGUGGAGUAAUGACUUCACAUAUAAGAAGUAUAUGUGGUAAAAUUUAUUGAAAGAUAGCAAACACCGCAUUGGUCACUUGAACAAUUCACGAAAGAAUAUUGAAGGAAGAGAGAUUUCACAUAUAAAUUUACUAUCUUGGAAAUCUUCUAUGAUUGUGAAUACCCGUUAAUUAUUUUCAAACUUGAGCAAAUUAGUUGAAGAUUGGACAAGGAAGACAACGUAAUGAGUUAUGCUUGGGUAUAUUUGUAUAGAAGUUAUAUUGUUAUGGAUCCUCCAACAUGUGGUGCUUGCUUCCACCUCAUACUAGCCAAAACUUCCGCACCAAGUAGAAAUACUACUUGUGCAUUCAAAUACCCUUAAACCCAAAGUUGUUUGUCCAUAUGAAUCCACCAUACCUACCCAUAUGCGGUAUUUAUGUGUCGUUCCAAGUAAACUUGCAUGUGCCAAACUCUAAACCUUCAAAUAAUAUUCUGUUUUGUAUGCCCGAAUCGCUCAUGUAGUGACUAGGGGUUGUUAGUAUAUUCGAUGCUAGGUGGGUUAUUCUCACGAUAUGUGUUGAUUCACUAUCAUUCACGAGAAAGUGGCUGGUAUUCGGGAUGCCCAUUUCCAUGCUCCAAAUUCAAAUCAAAAUAUAAUGAAACAAAACUCCCCCAGGAUUGUUGUUUAUAUGGAUGGUACCCAUGGAUUCGGCUCGCCGUGGAGUGUGAUUGAUUGGUGGAGGGGGGGUAAAAAAAUUACCACUCUAUUUGGGAACCGCCUAUAAUGUAUCUAACAUGAAAGAUAUCGAGAUCCCUCGGUUGUUAUGUUGACAAUGAAAGCAUACCGCUCAAAAUUAUUAUUCAUCUCUGUUUUAAAAGCUUGAGCUUUGGCACCUCUGCAAAUCAAUGCUUCCCUCUGUGAAGGGCCUACUUUUAUUUUCUACCACUUACCUUUAUGCAAGAGUCAUGGUGAUCUUCACGACUUCCUAUAUUUCGCCUGUUUCUCUUGACAAGCAUCAUGUGGUGGGGAAAGAUCCAAGCAUAUAUGUCCAUUCAAAUAUAUUUGAUCGUGAAUUAUUAUUGUUGACAAUUAUAUAUAUUAUAAAUAAGUUGGGAGGCGAAACUUUAAGCCCAUAUCUUUCUCCGUGUUCGACGGAUGCCAUUUGCUCUUAAAAUAUGCUUUGAGUGUUAGCAAUCAUGGAAGACUAUAUGCUAGUUGAGUAUGUGGAAUUUGCUAAAUCAAAGCUCUUACAUAGACCCUUCCUGAAAAUAAGAUGAAUUGCAAUUGUUUGAUGACUAGGAUUAUGGUUUGUUAGUUUUCAAGAAACUUUUUGGUCUAUACUUUAACAUGUGAAUAGCUUGUUACUUGAUCAUGAGAAGUUUUAUGAGAUGAGCUAUUGUUUAUGGUUUAUAUUUAUGCUAGAAAAAGUGAUUGGAAGUAUCAUUUGUCAAACUUGUGCACUUGCUAGCAUUCACACUUCAUAAAUAUUUCUUUUAUCAUUUACCUACUCGAUGACGAGCAGGAAUUAAGCUUAGGGGUGUUGAUACGUUUCCGGCGUAUCUAUAAUUUAUGACGUAUUCAUGCCAUGUUUACAAUAAUUAUAUAUGAUUUUGGUAUGAUUUUAUUAGAACUAACCCGGAGUGACGCUGUUUUCAACAGAACUACCAUGCUAUCGUUUUUUGUGCACAAAUAGAAGUUCUCGGAAUGGGCUGAAAAUUUACGGUGAUUUUUAUGGACCAAAAGAGACCCCCGAAGCACCAGAGUUGGGCCAGGAAGUGGAUGAGGAAGCCACAAGCCUGCUGGGUGCGGCCACCCCCUAGGUCGUGCCCCCGUGGCUUGUGACUUCCUCGGGAACCUUCCGGACGUGAGACCGAUGCCAAAAAUUCCUAUAAAUACCAAAAAAACCCAGAAAGAAACCUAGAUCGGGAGUUCCGCCGCCGCAAGCCUCCAGAGCCACGAAAAACCAAUCUUGGCCCUAUCUUCACCGGAGGCCAUCUUCAUCAUCCCGGCGGUCUCCAUAAUCGCCAUGGAGGCCAAGGACCAGAGGGAGAACCUCUCCCCACUCAAGGGGGAGACCAUGGAGGAGGAAGCACAAGGGGGACCUUUCUCUCUCUCUCUCUCUCUCUCUCUCUCUCUCGAUGGCGCCGGAGUGCCAUCGGGAGAACCAUCGCCGUGGUGAUUGUCUUCAUCAACAACACCUUUUUCAUCACCAUCAUCAUCUCCUCUCAGCGGUCCACUCUCCCGCACCUCGUUGUAAUCCCCUACUUGUACAUGGUGCUUUAUGUCGCAUAUUAUGAUUCAAUGAUGUGUUGCCAUCCUAUUAUAUUUUGAGUAGAUUUCUUUUGUCCUUUGGGUUGAUUGAUGAUCUAGAUUGGUGUGAGUUGUAUAUUUAUUUUGGUGAUGUCCUAUGGUGCCUUCCGUGUCGCGCACACGUGAAGGAUUCCCGUUGUAGGGUGUUGCAAUGCGUUCAUGAUUCGCUUAUAGUGGGUUGCUUGAGUGACAGAAGCAUAAACCCGAGUAAGGGGGCUAUUGCGUAUGGGAUAAAUGGGACUUGAUACUUUAAUUGUAUGGUUGGGUUUUACCUUAAUGAUCUUUAGUAGUUGCGUAUGCUUACUAGAGUUUCAACCAUAAGUGCAUAUGAUCCAAGUAGAGAAAGUAUGUUAGAUUAUGCCCCUCCCUCAUAUAAAAUUGCUAUAAUGAUUACCGAUCUUGUUAACAAUUGCCUAGGACAAUUCCGCACACCGACCCAUCAUUAUUCCAUACUUGUUGUUUGUAAUAUAUUGUAAUAUAUUCUAACUUUAUGAUAACAACACCUAUUUUUAUAUUCUAGUUCUCUGUUAUCAUGCAAAGCUAUUCUCUUCAUACCACCAUGUAGUUUUAUUUCUCGUUUCUAGUUGGAAGCAAACGUCCGGUGUACGUAGAGUCGUAUCAUUGGCACAUAGGACUUGAGAGAAUAUUGAUGUUACCUUUAGCUCCUUAUAGGUUCGACACUCCAUACUUAUCACUUCCACCUUUGAAAAUUGCUAUGAUGAUUCCUUACACUUGGGGAUUAUCAGCCCAAGGGUGGCGCACCAUCCCCUAGUGGUCUGGUGGCCAGCCCAAGAGGGCCUAGGUCGGCUGAAGUGGGAGAAAAGGCAUGGAGAGGAGGCCAAUCCGAUUUGCCUUCCAAGUGGAGUUGGAGGAGGACUCCUCCCUCUCCCUCUUGCGUCGGUCGAAACCCUAGAGGUUUCCCUAGGGCGCCGCCCCCUCCCUCCCACCUAUAUAUAGUGGAGGUGAUAGAGGCUUUUGGCACUCAAGCAAAAGUGCAGCUCUCUCUCCCUCCACAACUUCGACACCCCGUAGCUAGAUUAGUCCGGCACGGCGAAGCCCUGCCGGAGUAGCUCCACCACCAUCACCGUUACGUCGUUGUGUUGCCGGAGAAUUCAGCUACCUCUUCACCCCUCUUGUUGGAUCAAGAAGGCGGAGAUCUUCACCGAGAUGUACAUGUGUUGAACGCAGAGGUGCCGUACGCUCGGUACUAAAUCGGAACGGAGUUCGUGGGACGGAUCGUGAUUGGAUCGCAAAGAUGUUCGACUACAUCAACCAUGUUUCUUAACUCUUCCCGCUUAGCGAUCUACAAGGGUAUGUGGAUCUGAUCUCCCCUCUUGUAGAUGAUCAUCACCAUGAUAGGUCUUUCGUGUGCGUAGGAAUUUUUUUGUUUCCCAUGCAACGUUCCCCAACAUCUCUCUCGUAGUAAUUCUCCAUCAUAGCAAUCGCGACAGCGCUUGGCGAAGCCCUGCUGAAAUUGCACCACCACCACCGUCACCACGCUGCCGUGCUGCCGGAGUACUCAACCUCUAGUUCAACAUCGCUCUCUGGAUCAAGGAGGUGAAGGCAUCAUCGAGCUGUACGUGUGCCGAAAGCGAGGUGUCGUAUGUUCGGAAGACGUUCCACUACAUCAACCGCGUUCUUUAACACUUCCGCUUAGCGAUUUACAAGGGUAUGUAGAUGCAAUCUCUCCUCUUGUAGAUGGUCAUCUCCUAGAUUGUUCUUGGUGAAGCGUAGGAUUUUUUCCCAUGCAACGUUUCCCCAACAAGGAGGUAUAAUUGUUGUUCCUAACGACAAAAAUGAACUUAUCCUACAAAGAAUUGUAACUGGUUGUAGGAUGGUAAUUGAUUUCAGGAAAUUAAAUAAAGCUACUAAAAAAGAUCAUUACCCCUUGACUUUUAUUGAUCAAAUUUUAAAAAUAUUAUCUAAGCAUACACAUUUUUGUUUUCUUAAUGGAUAUUCUGGUUUCUCUCGAAUACCUCUGUCAAAAGAAGAUCGAGAGAAACCUAUCUUUACUUGUGUGUUUGGAACUUAUGCUUAUAGAUGUAAUGCACCUGCUACCUUUUAAAGGUGUAUAGCUGCUAUAUUGUGUGACUUUUAUGAAAAGAUUAUUAAGGUAUUCAUGGAUAAUUUUUCCAAUUAUGAGACGUCUUUUGAUGAUUGCUUAGGCAACCUUGUUCGAGUUUUGCAAAGACGUGAAAAAACUAAUCUUGUCUUAAAUAGGAAAGUGUCCCUUUAAGGUGAAUGAAGGUAUAAUACUGAUGCCCCAUAAGUAUAGGGGAUCAACUGUAGUCAUUUCGAUAAGUAGAUGUAUAUACACCCAUAGAACAAAAGUUCCCCUCCAUAUGAGGAGCCGCAUGUUUAGCUCUAUUGAGGUUUAAAGUUAUCGCGAAAAACACAACUUUUCCCACGUACUUCUCAUGUCAUGAGGCAACUCGCCGGAUUAAAAUGUAGCCGAACCGCACACGUCUGACAUCGCCUCACAUAACUUAAUUUAUUUUGGAAAUUUCCAUAUACUUGUAUUGGGGUCAUGUUGAUGUACAUGCUAUUCUUGGGAUCAUAUUGAUGUACCGGUAAUUUAUCUCUGAGCCUGGGCUCGUAUAAACCCGGUGAACAGUACCAUGUUUUAGACUACCAAAAAUGUUUUAAAAAGUCCAAUUUUUUUCAUGAUGCAAGAUCCUCUUAUGUGUGAACUCCCUGCAAAACUUUAUGAAAUUUGAACAUUCAAGAAACUCACGGCAAAAAAGACAAAAUCAGGCAUGAAUAGUGCACUUUUCAAAUGUUUCUCACACAUCUGAAACUUGUCUUUUUUGCCGUGAGCUCCUCAAAUGUCGAAACUACACAAAAAUUUGCAAGCAGUUCACACAUAGGAGCAUCUUACACCAUAAAAAAAUUGAACUUUUUUGAAUACUUUUUGUACCUCAGAACAGGGUACUGUUCAUGCACGAGCUCAGAUGAGCCUGGGAGCCAAAUUGCCGUGUUUCUACUUCCUCCCCUCUCUCUCUCCCCUUGUAUUAUCUCGGAUUAUAAACGGAAUUGAAGAUUUUAGAGAGAGAAAAGACAAGCUAAUUGCAAGACCAUCAUAGAAUGCAUGUUCCAUCAAUACCGAGAUCGUCCAUGACGCCACUCUACUAUGCAUCUGAUAUGGUAUGAACAAACCUUAGCAGCUAACUUUCUAAACACCAUUUUUUUUCAGAUUAAGAUGGAUCAGGAGGAGAAUGCAUGGCGGACCUUGUUCUCAAGGAACGAAACCAACUCAAGGGUGGUGGCACCGAGCCUCGACGACAGCAGGCAGCGAGGUCGCAGCCGCGUGCAAACGAUACAUGCCGGGUCUGAAGGUGGGCAUAGAAAGAGCAUUGGUAUCCUCGUCUGCUUAGACGUGAUGAUCAACUGCCAAAAUUAUACCACAUCACACGAAUAUGUAGCAGCAAACUUCCCCAGUGACAGUACGGCAUGUAUUUUGAGCACUGGUAUCCGGUGACAAAAUUGAAUAUACACCUCAACUAGGAUGAACGCGGAUGUAUGUAUUACUCUUUCAUCCAAAACGCAAGCACGGACACCGCCUUGGCCUGCUUGUGUUGCUGGCGAUGGCGAGGGGACCGUCGAGAGAAGACUCACUUCUUUUCCGCUGCUUUAUGGUCUGGAAUCUUCAGCAUGCCACCGUCGAUGAGCGGCUGCACCUCGGAUUUCGCAAGAUCCUUCACCUUGGAAUCUGGAGAUUCCAGAUAGGCAGCCACCACCUUGGAGCUGCAGCAACGAUCAACAAGUUCAGAAGAGUAUCAGCGCAUGAUUCCCCUUUUAUUUCCUUCAAAAUACCACCUCAGCAGUGCAAUGUAGUACGUAAAUUGCAACAAAUAGUUGAAAUUGUAUUCGUCGCAUUUGCAUGGUCCACAAAUUUGAUGAACAGAUUAAACAACUGGCAUAUCGAUGAGGAAUCAUUUUGAGGUACCUGAAUCCAUCUGCAAAUGACUUGGACUUCCCUUUGAGGGCUUUUUCCCAUAGGGUAGCGGCAAACGCAGGGCAAUCAAGUACCAUCUUUCUGAUUACGCGGCUCGAGUGGUAGUUAUCAAAGGCAUGCUCAACAUCCUCUGUCCUCGGCCGUGCUGCGUCAGAAGCUAUAGCAUUGUGAAGCACGUGGAUCCUGUCGGUGACCCCCUCCAAGACAUUAUUUUUUCCACCUAUAGCAACCUUGGAAAAUGGCAAUACAGAAUCUCAGUAGGUGCAGUCAUGACGCUCUUCAAUGGUCAUUUACUCAUUUGUGUCAAGAGACAGACCAAGAAAACAGUAGGUAGGUUCGUGUGUAGACUGGAGUGCCAUUUUCUUUUACAGGAGGUUGAUUCAUCAUCAUUAAGGAAAAGUGAAUAAAAGUAAUACUAAGCACAGGCCUAGGGACCAACGCAUCCCAGAGAAAAGGUUCCAUCAACUCAUAAGAAUAUUUCCACAUUGUUGAAUAAUAAUCAGGAAAAAUGCUCGUCUCUUGUGAAGGUCAUGCAAGUAAAAUCAUAGCACUAUUUAUCACAAGUAGUCCCUUUCACAAAGAAAUGUCAUAGAUGAAUGAAUAUUAUCGCAAGAUACUGGCUAUAGAGGUACAGGUAGAAGCGUAGAGCAUGGACUAAGGGAUUACCUCAUAUAAUACAUCUUUGCCAAAGUUUGCUCGAAGUAACUCUCCAACAUUUUCAAUGCAAGUCUCAAUGAGAACCUGCAAAGGAAAAAAGAAAACCUACAUUAGGACUAGGGGUACGUGACUAUGGGACCAUAGUAAUGUCAGGAUCAGGGUGUCAUGUGACUAAUGAGGGCGUAGUAAUGUUGCGACUAGGUGUUCUUUCACAAAUAAUCACCCUAAAAUCAUAGUACUAGUGCAAGAAUAAAUGUAGAUCUCUUGAGGGGGGACACUACAUGCUCAAAAAGAAAUGCCAUUGAAUAAAUAAAUAAAUAAGUUAAAUACAUGUUAAGAGUAUCACCUCGAAAAGUUCGCUUUUCACCAACAGUUCUUGCCUCCGUUUAAACGGGUCCUUCUUGCUAUCAGAUGCAACCAGUGUGUCUUCUGAACCCCCAUGUUCUUUUUCAGCUACAUCAUCCAACUUACUAUCCAAGUUAACUUUAGCAGCACCCUCUGAUGCCUCAUCCUGAAACAAAAAAAAGCAAAUUUCUGGGGGCUAUCUCUCUUCAGAGUACUUAACAGUUAAUAGGGUAGGUAACUUGCCUUUGAAAUAAGGGAAGGCACACUGUACUUCAGACAACUCAAAUCAGUCGGAGUCAGAUAACGUGAGCAAAGUGGGUGAAGUAGCUGCAGCAAUGGGCGUCUCCCGUUCUGUUCCAGCAAGGAGCUCCAUCAUAAAGUCUCAUGUACGUGUAACAAACAAAUAAAAAUAAGCAUAUCAGAAGCUCGUUAUUGCUUUUACCUUGUCAAAUAUGAGUUCCUUUAACUGUUUUGUCAGCUCUUCAAUUACAACCUACAAAUAAUGAAAGUAAGCUAUAAGCAUUGUCUCUUCAGAUUGCUUGUAAUGGCAGCAUAACACUUGCUUCAAGCAAAUGAUUGGUGCUGGCUAACCUUAGUAAGAAGUUUUGUGUCAUCAACAAUGGAGAGAAGACAAGCAAGGAACUGGAGAAAAAAAGAUAUGUUAGUUUAGUUGAUGAUUGAUCACUUGGAAGCAUAAAACCAUCUGAAAUUACUGUGGAUUGGGAGAAUGUUUUUGAACGUUAAAGCAUAAAAUUCACACAGUAAAACCCUAUUUGAAUACUAAAAUAUACUAUUAGAAAUAUAGACACCACUUACAAGGCAUCCAUAAUCACUGAGAGCAAGCUUCAUAACCUGACCCUUCAAGCUUUUGAUAAUUUUCUUCCUAUCCUGAAAUGCAUUACCAAGUUAAAUGAUAAAACCACACUGGAAAUAAGCAAGAAUAAAAAGAAGUACUACUGAACAUGCAGCAUGAGGCACUAACUAACGUACGGUUCUUCCCGAAAAAACAAAAAAACAAAAAACUAACACACGGUUCAAUUUGCAUGACUGUUUAGUGUCUAAAAUCAACAGAGGUUAAUAAAUAAACAUUGGAUAAAGCAGAUGAGUUGGCAAAGUUAAAAAAAGUGAUCACUCUGAAAUCUGUCUUUCUAGAUACAAAUAAGAAAACAGAAAGACAAAAAAAAGACAAUGUACCUUCGCACUGCCAUGCUUGAGGCAAGCAAGCCCUAAUUUUAAUCCUUCCCUGGUCUGCAUGAUACGAAUGAGAAGUGGUUCUGAAGAUCUUUUCUUCUUAGCUUUUGAUUUUGUUGGUACUUCAGCGACACCUGAUAGUUCAUCUCCAUCUACGACAGAUGACCCUUGAGUAAGAUGGGGAAUUAACUGACGAAUCACGUCCGAGGCUGAUGUCUACGAAACACAUGCAUAUAUUAGAUAGUGCAAUAAGCUGAAGAAAUAUUUCAUCAAAAAAGGAGAGCUUUGUUGUAAAGAUAGGCCAAUCGCGUCAAUAAAAUACAUUUACCUUGUCCGCAAUUGUUAAGUACUCCAAUAUGACCGUGUGUACUAUGGAAUACUCAACAAUACCUUUUUCCAAAACUGGCUGGAUAACAGUAGUCAUAUACUGCAGGACAGAUGAUUUCUGUAGUCCAAGCUUAGAAAUUGUUUCUAACAAACUGAAAAAGAAAGUUGAAUUUUAGGAUAUUGAACUAAAUAAGUAACUGCAGCCACCUAUGUCAGGAUAAGUGAAUGACUACAAUAAUAUUUCCGUCCGCCCAAGUUAAAGUUUUGUACAGAGAAGUAACAAAAGUUAAGGGGACACUACAAAGCAGAUGUAUGACAAGACAUUAUAGCGUGCCAACCUGCAUGAUUUUUGUUCAGUCAAGUCCUUGAACAGCUGAAGCUCGGUGGAGUACAAUUCCAACAACAAACUUCUUUUCUGAGGCGGUGUCGCCUGAUGAAAGGUGCAAUCAACAACUGCGAAAAAGAGUGCAUCUCAAUGUAAGAUUUCCAUGUACCCCUUUACUUGUAUAGCAAAUAGAAACGCAUGUGUACAAUGGCAUUCAACCAUUAACUCCUGCUGCUCCUAUACACGACAAGUUCCUAUCCCUUAUGACAAUAACACAUAGCAACACAUACCUGCAGCUCCUAUUGUGUGACGAAGUAGAGAAGCGACAUGACCAUGAAGGGAAGAGAUGAACAAGGCAAGCUGUUUUUUAGUGGCUGCAGUCACAAACAAGAGGUAUGUUAGUGAAGCUAUAAGGGUUAUCAUAUAUGAACUCAUACGAGUUUUUAGCGAAUUGUAGAGAACUUUACCAAGUUUUAUGAGCUUCUUCACAAGAAAAACAGCGUAUUUCUUGCGAGAGAAAUGGAGCAAAUGUGGCUGCAGGGCAACAAAAACAGCAUCCCUCUCUGGCUGUGAGCACCACUUCACACAUGUCUGAAAAAGGAAUGGCGACUAUCAGAAUAAGGACGAAAACACCAUAAGAAGCGCGUUCAUAAAGAGUGAAUAUCGUCAGCUUACCUGAAGAACACGUGCGGUUACAUGGGAUCCAGCAAUUUCAAAAUAUUUGCCAUCCAUUUUACGGAGAGCCUCAGUCACUAGCCUGUAGAGAUGACAAACGCAUCGGCAUAAGAAGUUGACCAUAAGUUGCAACUCACAAGACUUUAAUAGUGACGCUUACUUGGAUCUAUUCUCCUUGCUCACAUCACGGCAUCUCAUCUUUUCCCAUAGUACUGCCAGUUCCUGUCGAUAUUAGGUGUCGGCGGCACACCAAAUUAGAGUUGGCCAGAGUAUGGUUAACUGAAUCAUCAUAUACAGAGUGGUGGUUGAAGCAGGCACUGCUACUAUUUAUUACUGGGAUAAAAGUCAGUUUUUGCUUCAUUGUCAAAAUUAAGUAAUGCUACCAGCAGAAUUCAAGUCCAAAAGUAAAAAUCAAGAAUAUGUAAUACUCAGAGGUCAAUUAUUUUGGUUUAGGCUACAAGCAGCAUUACAUGAUUGUUUAUUAUGUAUGCAGCAAGUGUAAUCUGAAGAUUGAACAUACAAGGAAACGUGAUCAUAAUGGGAGCAUACGGUACAAAACAAAAAUUACCUUUUCGAGGUUGUAAUUGGGCUUCCUCUUCAUCUUCCUCGACUCGGACAUUUCCUGCCACAAUCGACACCAUUCCACAGCUUCAGCACAAGCACAAGCAGGACCAAAGCGCAAGCUCUCCAAACGAGCUAAACAAGGAAGGGGCACCGAUGGAAUACCUUGGCGGCGACCCGCUUGCCCUUGGCGGUGACGGGCUGCGGCUUGGCCUUGGCGGCAGGGGCGUCAUGGGUUUUCUUCCGCUUGGUGGCGUCGCCGCCUCCCUUGGACGGCGCCUUGGGCCUCCCCGCGGCCUCGCGCUUCCGCUUGUUGGCGCCCGGGUGGUCACCACCUCCGGCCAUGGGAACACGAGGCGGCGUCGGCGAACGGGGGAGGAUGAACGAGGGUUUACUGGUCGCAGCACCGGAGGAGGAUGCCCAGAUAGGUUCGUUCUAGUCUAGGGGGCAGUUCUUUUCACCUCACGAUUCUCCAGAAUCUGAUUCUGGGAAACUGCCCACAGAAUCAGCUGUCCAGUUCUUUUCUGUGAUUCUAGCAUGUGAUUAUUGUAUGAGUUGUGUGCUGAAAUGUCUGUAACGCCCCUAGAUUGAACUGAGUGCUGAAUUACUAAUACUUGGUUAUUUCUGAUAGUUUCAUGUCUAAUAUGAACACGAAAGCUAGUUGCAAAUUUAAUAUGAAUUUAGUAAGCAAAUUUGCUUGUCCUACAUCCGACAAACUGGUGUUUCCAGGGGCGCGGUUAUUUGCUCGCACCUCUUCUACGCACACAUCCAUAUAAAUGGAAUGAUACGCACUAUCCCAAAUUGCUUUAGGAUGCUUCACUUUCUCCAUCUAAAACAUCCAUAUGUGAACGUUUUAAUGUACACAAUUUUUUUCAUUGCUAAACAGAGUUAAAAAAGAGUUUGUAUUUUUUUCAUUGCUAAACAGAGUGUAUUUUUUCAUUGCUGACCAAAUUGCAUAUGUGUGUACUACAUGUGUGUACUAUCGCGAGCAGCAUCAGCCAAGCAGCAGCAGCAGCAGGAGCGAAGCAGAGCACCAGCAGCCAGGUGGAGCGUCCGUAGCCAUCCUAGAGAUGUAGGGGAGAGAGAAGCUCACCAGCAGAGGCAGGAGUUGCUGGAGCUCUUGAUGAUGGCGGCGGGCUGGACGGGGCGGCCGCGCGCGCAGGUGUUGGCCGACGGGACGGGGCGUAGGGGGUGGCGGGGAAGGAGACGGGGCGGCUGGCCGCACAGUUCUCCGGGAUGGCGGCGGACGGUCGGGGUCGCCGGCUUGUAGCGGAUCUGACGCCGCCGCGGCGGGGUCGAAGGCUGGCGGCACUGAACCCUAGCUGGGGACGAAACGAGCGAGCGGGCUAUGGUGCCUGCAAAUUUUCGUGUUUUGACCCCAGAUCUGACCCCGAUUUUAAAAUUUUGAGAUUUAUUAAUUUUUUUGCCGUCAGGGUUCACGACGGUUGAGUAUACGAGCCUAUCGCCGAGAUUCUUGACGGUAAAAAACUUAUUUAUAUCAAUGGGGCGCAUCUUUAUCGUCAAACAAAUUAGUAGCAGAAUGUACAACCCUACUAUCCGAAGAUAGGUGCGAGCAUGUACUGUAUACAAUACUUAAAAAAUAAAAAUACGAUAGGACAUGCUAACCUAUCGUUAAGGGUCUCGACGAUAGGUUGUUAUACCCUAUCGUCAUGGACCCUGAUGGUAGGAAAAGGAUCAAGUCCCAAAAUUUUACAAACAAGGAUCAGAUCUUGCUCAACUUUUAUGAAAGGAUCAAAACAUGAAAAUUAGCCUCUCGUGGCUCUAUGCAUCUGUCAUUUUGGGCCCCUAUUUCCAAUUGCUCUGAGUUCGGACAUUUUGAGGGUAAAUAACUCGUUUAAUAUGGGUAGAACAUUAAAACCAAAUGUUUUCUUUCGAGGGGCUCGGCAUAAUCGUGAGAAUCGCCAACAUUCUCUGAUUUUCAUUUGCACUACUAUUCUUGUGAUUUCCAGAUAAUUUUAAAGAAGAAAAUCAAAUUCCUUUGCGAUUGUUGAUUCUCUCAACGCGAUUGUUGAGAAUCACCUCAAAAGAACUGGCCCUAGGAUUUAUCGCCUGCCAAUACCAGUCUGUCACCCAACAACGUAUGAGGUGGGUCGCACAAUGGGCUUGUGACAGUUCCAUUCGGCCUAAGUUACGUAACUCGGCUCGUCAUUCGGCAACCUCUUGUAGACGAUCGGCCUACAGGAUCGUGUCUGACCCGACAAAGCGUGAGAGGGUUGUUUGGUCAAUCCACCGCGGGGGUGAGGGAGCGCGCGCAAGGGUUUUCAUUUUCCCCAAUUUCCCAUCAUGGAGGUCGUUGAACACGCCAACAAAUGGGCGAACGACGGGCAGGCGCGUGAGACGUUGACGCGUGGGCGACCGCGAGGCGGGGUGGCCUCAGUCGGUGCGAGGUGCGAGAUCUGACCUUGGUUUGGAAAAAAAAUCUAAAUAUCGAAUAUAGUGUGUGUUUUGACCCUUGUUUGAAAAAAAAUCUAAGUAUCAGAUACAAUGCGUGUUCUGACCCUAGUUUUCUAAGUAUUGGAUUCUUCAAAUAUUCUAAGGGUCAACUACUGUAAAAAUAUAUAUAUACGAUAAUCGACCCUUUUACCUUACUGUCAAAACACGCAUUGUAUGUGAUACUUAAAGGUGUGAGAUCUCGCUCAACUAUUGUAAAAUGGUCAAAACAACCUCGACGGUAGGCUGGUAUACCCUACCUUCAUGGACCCUGGUGGUAGGAAAAGGGUCAGAUCCCAAAAAAAUCAAACUCGGGUCAGAUCUGGCUUAACUUUUGGAAAAGGGUCCGAACACAAAAAAUUGGCCCGCGUUGUGUGGGGCGCCUCUUUUUGAGCACUUGUGGUGUCGACGUGCGAGCGAUCCGGCGUGGUGCGGCCGUUCAUGUGGUCGCGCUGGCGUGCUCUGACCGCACACGCGUGUAAGAGCAGUGGAGGAGUGGGAUGGAAACCCUGAAUGGAAUGUGAGGGCAUCGCGCUAUCGCUGGAUGGGAGGGAUUGGUUGGUUGGAGAUCUCGCGGAUAUCUCGUCGUACGUGGUCGGGAUGCAAUCUGAUAGGCGGGCCUUCUCAGGGUCUUGAGAAAUGUUAAUUUGCAUUGAUUGCAAUCGGGGUGCUGGAUUCUGUGGCGCAAACAAAAAAAUGGCCCGGAAGAAAGGAAUCAGUCUCUUCAGUCCAGCUCACCCUAUUAUCAUUAACAUAUUGUCAUUAAUGAAACUAUUUUGACCUUGAAGCAUGUUAUGCAAAGGCUUGAUAUAAUUGAAAAUAAAAUUUCCACUAAAUAACAAAUUGAGGAGUUGGAUAAAAUAUUCAUACUAAUAUCACUCAAUUUGGAUCAAAGGUAGGAUUUACUUUGAAAGCAUUAAAGGAGAAAGAUACAAUUAUUAAUGAGCGCGUAGAGCAAGAUUUGAGUAUUUUAUAUAAUGGAGGAAGUCACUGAUAAAGUGGGUUAUGCUUCCACACCCUCUAAAAUUAAUGCUAUUACCUCUCAAAGAAAAAUUCCAAGGUUAUGUAUGUCCCUAAGAACACUAGUAUCACUCCUAUCAAAAGAAAGAAGGAUAUUAAAAUGAUUAGUGUGCAUCCCAAUUUUAUAAACAUGAUAAGAGACCCUAUCUUCAAGCCUCCUAUUUUUUCUAAGAAGCAUGGUUGUGUGAUUGAGGAGUUUGACAAGAAUACAACACUUGAAACUAUGCAUUAUGAAUAACUAGGGGCGUAAAACGAUAGCGCUUGUUAAGAAGCAACCCAAGAGUCAUCUUAAUUUUAUUGUUCUAUUUUCUGUUUUGUGUGAGGUAACAUGAUUAUUGAUACUGUAAUUAUUGUGUUUUUAUGUUUAAAUUAGUGUUUGUGUUAAGUAAAGCCUUUUGGAUGAUUUGAAUGAUAAGUAGAAUUGAAACGGUGCAAAAACAGAAACUUUUGCGUCUAGUGCAGAAUUUCUCUAAUUUUACUGGAACAUCUUUUUGAUAUGAAUUUUUUACACAAUAUUGGUAUACAAAUUUUGCAGGUUUUCUUGACUUUUCAGAAUUACAGGAGUUAUAGAAGUAGGUUGUCUUUGGUGAUCACUACAGACUGUUCUGUUUUAGACAGAUUCUAUUUUUACUUGCAUAGUUUGCUUGUUUUGAUGAUGCUAUUGAUUAUAUCGAGGGGUAUAAUUCAUGGAGAAGUUAUAAUACAAUACCUUAUGCAAUAAUAAAAUAUGAAUCAAUUUAUAAUAGCACCCAAUGUUUAUGGUUCGCCUAUCCUACUAACAGAUCUCACGAGAUUUCUGUUGAGUUUUGUGUGGUGAAAUUUUCAAGUUUUGGGUGUUAUCACGAUGGACGGAGGAAUAAGGAGCGAAAAAGAGACUAAGCUUGGGGAUGCGCAAGUAACCACGAGUUAAAUUCUAGGAAGACUCAAGCGUCUAAGCUUGAGGAUGCCCCGGAAGGCAUCCCCUCUUUCGUCUCAAUCAAUCGACAUGUCACUUGAAGAUAUAUUUUUAUUCAUCAUAUGAUAUGAGUUUUGCUUGGAGCGUCGUUUAUUAUAGUUUGCUUUUGUUUUAAUUUCCCACAAUCAUUGUUUACUGGACACACCCACUUGAUAUAGACACAUGUUCAACAUGAUUUGUUAGAAUACUCUAUGUGUUUCACUUAUAUCUUUUGAGCUAAGCAGUUGCUCUAGCACUUCACUUAUAUUUUGUAGAGCACAGUGGCGUAUAGAUUUCUAGAAAUCAUUGCACUCUCGUUCUUCACUUAAACAUGUUUGAGAGUUAAUAAAUAGUGACGAUAAUUAAUAUGUGUUGUAAGACUAGUUAAAAAAUAAUAGGUAUUCAAGGAGUGCAUAAUCAAAUCCUUCAUGUAGCACAUAAAAGAGAAUUUGUGAGUUAAUGAUAUUGAUAUGCUAAUAUGAAAAGGGCGUGAGUGCAUGGUUGUUGGUUAGUAAAUAUAUCGAUAGUUAAAGGGUGUUAAUUUUUUUUGUUCAUCUAAAUAUUGGCUAUGGCAUGGUGAUGAUGUGUGAGCAUUCUUAUUCCUCAUUGAAAUCCUAGUGUUGUUUAGGUCGGGGGCGCGCGAUGGAUAACUCCUACCAACCUCCUCCCUAGGGGCAUGUGAGUAGUACUUUGCUUAGAGAAAUCUAAUAAAAUAUUGUGAUAAGUAUACGAGUUCUUAUGGCUAACGUGAAUCCAUGGAUCUACGGCAUCUCACCUCCUCAUGUUUGCUAGCCUCUUCGAUAUCAUGCGUUCUCACUCUCACCUCAAGGAUCGGUGCAAACUUCGGCCGUGCAUCCAAAUCCAACGACAUGAUACACUAUGUUGCACAUAAGACACCUUAUAUCUUCCUCAAAACAGUCACCAUACCUACUUAUCAUGACAUUUCCAUAUCCAUUCCGAGAUAUAUUGCCAUGCAACUUCCACCAUUACAUCAUAUGACUAGUACACUCAUUGUCAUAUUGCAUUGCAUGAUCAUGCAGCUGACAUAGUAUUUGUGACAAAGCCACCGUUCAUCAUUGUUAUAAAUGUUACGCUAGACCAUUGCACGUAUUGGUACACUGUCAGAGGCAUUCGUAUAGUCAUAUUGUUUAGUAGUUUUUUAUUGAGUUGUAAGUAAAUAGAAGUGUGACGCUUUUCAUUAUUAGGGCACUUUCUAAGUGAGGAAAGGAUGAUGGACACUAUGAAUCCCCACAAGUCGAGAUGAGACUCCGGACAAAAAAUAAAAUGAAAAAAUGAAAAAAAAAANNNNNNNNNNAGGAAAAAAUAAAUAAGACAAAAGAGAAGGGACAAUGCUACUACCUCUUUUUCCACGCUUGUGCUUCAAAGUAGCACCAUGUUUUUCAUAUAGAGUCUCAUGUAUUUGUCACUUUAAUAUGCUAGUGAGGUUUUUUCAUUAUAGAAAUUGACUUGUGUAUUCCGAUGACAGGCUUCCUCAAAUACCCGAGGUCUUCAUGAGCAAGCAAGUUGGAUGCACACCUACUCAAAUUCAGUUGAGCUUUCAUACACUUAUAGCUCUAGUGCAUCCUUUGCAUGGCAAUCCCUAUUCCACACAUUGAUAUUGACUGAUGGAUGUACCCAUAGCCCGUUGGUCCACCUAGUUGAGGCGAGACUUUCUUCUCCAUGUUUACCCCUUUGAAAACUACCACCAUAUUCUAUUCCACCUAUAUGCUAUGUCCAUGGUUCACACUCGUGUAUUGAGUGAGUAAUAAAAAGCCGAAGCACGUUAAGAAGUAUGACCCAAUUGCUUGGCUUAACACCGUGGUGCUUGAAAUUUAUAUUUAUGUGGUAAAGACGGAGCCAUGCCAUGCUAAUAUGUUAAAAUGAAUGGGGGUUAAACAAUCUUUAAAGAUCAUAUAUUUUGAAAAUUGAUGAUUAUGUUACCUAUGUUCAUGGAUAUUACUAUGUUGUUGUUUGUUAAUUCAUCAUUUCUCAAUGACAAUAUGUGCAAGAGAUUACAUGUUGGGUAGCAUGUCACAUCAAAAUUUAUGUUUUUAUCAUUUACCUACUCGAGGAUGAGCAUGAAUUAAGUUUGGGUUUAUGUUAAUACUACUCAUGAGAUUAUAUUGAGUUCCUUGCUGGUCUAUGCAUAUAUAUGCAUGAUUAUGAUAGCUUCAUAAUUCUUUCUGAUCUAUUGAUUUGGUUUGGCGGAUUGAUUUAUCUUCAGCGGGAGAGGUGCGUUGUAGUGGGUUAAGUCUUGCGGUGAUCAAUCCCACUGAUAGAAAGGGACAUGACACACAUUGUAUUACUGCCACUAAGGGUAAAACAAUGGAGUUGAUUCAUGUUAAUUGGAUUUGCUUUGUCUACAUCAUGUCAUUGUUCUCCAAGCAUUACUUUUUCCACUUAAUACUCUAGAUGCAUGUUGGAUAGCGGUCGAUGGGUGGAGUAAUAGUAGUAGAUGGCAGCAGUCGGUCUACUUGCUUACGUACAUGACGCCUACAUGUAAUGGUCAUUGCCAUGAAUAAAUAUUUCAUAAUUAACUACUUUUCUAUCAAUUGCCCAACAGUAAUUCGUAUACCCACCGUAUACUUUCUACGUGAGAGAAGUCUCUAGCGGAAACUUUGGCCCCCAGGUCUAUUCACAUAUGUAAAUACAAAAAAUACAAAAUCACUUGUUAUUCUUAUUUUCUUUCUAUUUAUUUUUCAUUUAUAUUUAUCAAACUAUCCAACCAUGCUACUUAUUACUUGCAAGUAACGAGUUCAAGGGGAUUGACAACCCUCCUACCAGUGUUGGGUGCAAGUGUGUGUGCUCUUUUGAGUGCGGGUGCUGAAGACGGGAAAUUUCAUGGUCCUCCUAUUGGUUCGAUAACCUUGGUUCUCGCUGAGGGAAAAGCCUACGUCUUGAUUUGUGUGUAUUGAUGAUGAUGAUCUCAAUUACAAGGGUGCGGAAUCGCUACCUCUAGUCUCGAGGGUUUCUAAUAUGUCUAUCUCUAAUGGUUUGUCUUGUCCAGACUUAAAUUGUUCCCCUUGGGGUGCCUUGCCACUCCCUGUAUAAGUUGAAGGGGUAGGCUUACAUAGAGUCCUACUAGGACUAGGAUUAGUCUCUCUUGAAUCCUAAUCCGGGUCUUGCUUCUCUUGUGAGGGAAUGUUUCCUCUUCCUAGGCCUUCUCUAUGAGCCAACCCUCCAGGCCUCUCCAAGAGUUGCCUUUCACCGGCUUGCACACUGGGCCUUAGUCCUUGUCGUCUAGGUCGACCCAGCGAGCAAGGUGACGUAUGAGCCACCAACCUCCUGGCUGGUUCAAAUCGUGGGGUAUAUCCUCAAGAGAGGGUCUCUACAUCAUCCCCGCUUCUCCAAUGGUGAUGUGUGAGUAAUUGACCACAAACCUGUUGGAAACAUGCCCUAGAGACAAUAAUAAAUUGCUUAUUAUUAUAUUUCCUUGUUCAUAAUAAUCGUUUAUUAUCCAUGCUAGAAUUAUAUUGAUUGGAAACUCAAAUACAUGUGUUCAUGCAUAGACAACAUACUGUCCCUAGUGAGCCUCUAGUCGACUAGCUCAUUGAUCAAAGAUGGUCAAGGUUUCAUGGCCAUAAACAAGUGUUGUCACUUGAUAACGAGAUCAAAUCAUUAGGAUAAUGAUGUGAUGGACAAGACCCACACUAUGAACGUACCAUAUGAUCGUGUCAGUUUAUUGCUAAUGUUUUCUGCAUGUCAAUGUAUCUGUUCCUAUGACCAUGAGAUCAUGCAACUCCCGGACACCGGAGGAAUACCUUGUGUGUAUCAAACGUCGCAACGUAACUGGGUGACUAUAAAGGUGAUCUACAGGUAUCUCCGAAGGUGUCUGUUGGGUUAGCGUGGAUCAAGACUGGGAUUUGACACUUCGUGUGACGGAGAGGUAUCUUGGGGCCCACUUGGUCAUACAACAUCACAAUGAGCCUCGAACGAAAUGUGACUAAGGAGUUAGUCAUGGGUUCUUGUAUUGCAUAACAAGUAAAGAGACUUGCGAGUAACGAGAUUGGACUAGUUAUAGAGACACCGACAAUCGAAUCUCGGGCAAGUAACAUAUCGAUGGACAAAGGGAACAACGUACGUGAUUAACUGAAUCCUUGACAUAGAGGUUCAACCGAUAAAGAUCUUCAUAGAAUAUGUAGGAGCCAAUAUGAGAAUCCACGUCCAGCUAUUGGUUAUGGACCGAAGAAUGUCUCAGGUCAUUUCUACAUAGGUCUCGAAACCGCAGGGCGUGCACCCUUAAGGUUAGGUGACAUUUCAGUAUUAUUGAAUUAUGUGUGUUGGUAACCGAAAGUUGUUCGGAGUCACAGAUGAGAUCCUGGACGUCAUGAGGAGCUCCGGAAUGGUCCGAAGGUAAAUAUUUAUAUAUAGGAAAGUUGCAUUUGGCUUCCGAAAAGUUUUCGGGCAUUACCGGUAAAGUACCGGGAGUGACAAAUGGGUUCCGGGGUUUUUACCGGGAGGGGCCACCCACCCAGGAAAGAACUUAAUAGGCCUAAAGGUGGUGCACCCGCCCUUAGUGGGCUGGUGCGUCCAGCCUAAGAGGGCCUAUUUUGGCCAAGGAACAAAAGAAGGGGAAAACCCCAAAGGAGAGGAGGUUUCUGUGACAGCCCGAUGCCGACGUUCCAGAAGAUUCCCCUUUUCUUUCCGUUUUCGUCGUGUGUCUAUUUUCUUUUGUCGCAUCAUUAUCGCAUCAUGCACAUCAUCUGCAUUGCAUCGGCACCCCGUUGCCGCCAGUUUUCAAAACAUGUGUCCGUUGUUAGUUGCCGGUUCUCGUCGUUGUCCGUUCUGAGCCCGACCGCACACGCACGCGCCCGCGGCACCGUCGAAACCCUGUUUUUAAAGUGUGCAUAAAACUUUCUCUGAUCGGGGUGAGAUUUGACGUGAGGUAUUAUUUUAAUAUAGGUAGGCCACCUGUCAAAUUUCGUCGCGAUCGGGGUUAGUGUGGUACCCGAACGGUCGACCGUAGCGGCACCGUAUUCAGUCUAUCGUCGCACGUGUCCCGGUGUUUUAAAUCGCGUUGCCGCGCCGCCCGUUUUCCAUGUCGUCUCUGGAUAACUACUCUACACAAGCCACCGAACCUAACCCGAAGAUCAGAGCCGUCCGAUUGUGAUUGAACGGCUCGGAGCAGGCUAAAAAUAGCUAACCUACCCUAUUGCCUAUAAAUACCCCACUCCUAGCCUAUUUUGGACAAACCCUAAAAUCUAGGGAUCUGUCCCGUUGAGGCCGCCGCCACUUCAAGGAAUCCCUCGGGAUCCAUCUCAGGCAAACCUCCACCUCUCCCUUGAUCUGAUCCAGCCAACCCCCAAAGCCAGCCCGUUGACCAUCUAUGCCUAUCGGAUCUAGAGAUCCAAUGGAUACCAGCAGCUGCGGGACGGAACGCCUCGUCCCCGCAUCCCGUGCCUCGAUCCAGAGAGGAUCUAGAGCAACGCCAGGACGCCGCCGCGCGUAGUGCACCAACGUCAACCAGUUUCGGAGCCGGCCGCCGGACGCAAGCCAGAGAUCGCCUCCCUUGCCCUCUCUCCCUGUUCCCCCAUAUUUUUUUCUCAUCUCUCCGUGUGCUCGUUUCUUCUACAAGGAGCAGAACGGGAGACCGCCGACCGUGCCCCUGUCUGUCUUUUGCGAGAGAAGCACCGAGCCAGCACCGGCCCCUGCAUCUCUCUCUUCUCUGCAUCUUCAGGUGCAGCCAACGGAGGCCAUGGAGCUCGAGCCGCCCUUGCCCGGAUCCGCGUCAUCCCCAAGCCCCGCGACUCCUCCACCUGCACGAGAUCAUGUCGAUGAUGUCUUCGUUCCAUUCCCGGCCUCCCAGCUCGCCGUCUUCGCCGGAGCAUCGCGCCGCCGGCCCCUAGUUCCCCGUGGAGAGCAGCCAAAGUCACCCCUAUACGUGCUAGUUUCAGCAAGGUACACAGACAUACCCUGUUUCAGAUGCAGUUUUGUUCAGGUUUACAUUCAGCAUGGUUGUGUGCUCAUCUACAGAAGGAACCCACUUUUAACACGAACCCAUUUGUAGCUCAGUUGGUCACAAUGUUGCACCUACACCCAGUAGACUAGGGAUCGAAUCCCAGUGGCUCCAAUAUAGUUUUUUAGCGUUUUGCGUUGUCAUUCACCAGCUAUGCAUAUUAGGUAUAACCAGGCGAAUGCAUUAUGUAGCACAAGGACAUAUCUAGCCCACUGGUGACACAUGCUAGGACACCGAAGGAGGUCUUGGGUUCGAAACCUGGACUGCCCCUAUUAUUUUUGCUUUUGUGCCAUGUUUGAUUUUCGUUUUGCACACCCAAGCAAGUGGGCACAGAGCUCCCAGUGGCUGCAGCCCAGUGCACAGAUUCGGCCCAUACGUUUUUUUAUUUUAUUUUAACCUGCAAUUUUAUUUAUUUUUAGAAAAACGCAUUGAUUUUCAAAAGAGCGUAGUUUCUAAACCGUGCGACGGAUCAGAAUGGGUUAUAUAUGUAGAACGUGUAGAAUUUUAUGUAGAUUAAUAUUUUUCAACUUUCAUGCAUAAUUAGAACUGUUUAGUGUGAUGUUUACCUCGUUUUGCAUGUCGACAUGUUGAAACGGUUUAGGUCGUAACUAUUUGUCCGUAGCUCCGUUCGAGAUGUGCCAUAUAUGUAAAUGGAGCAGAACGACGAGUAGAAUCACGUGAAUCACUUUGUUUUGCCGUUUAACAAACCUAAAAUGUUAUUAUGACAAGUCUGGACAGAAUUAAGAUUUAACAUGUGGGGUCAUUUCAGAGAUGCUAUAUGUCGUUUCCGGUCUCAUUUAAAAUGUCUAGCUAGGUAGAUUAAUUUGUGCUUCACCCUCGUGCCAUGUUUAAUAACAUUUAAUAUAGUCAUGUACCUGAACGGGAGCGAACUAAAUAAUUAGAGUGGAGUUUCGUCGAUAUGCAACUCGUUGCAUACCGAGCUUCACUUAAUGUGUAGUGUUUGGUUGUUGUGUUUGUCAUGCCUUGCAUUAGACCGUUCAUGCUUCAUAUGGGUUGUGCAUUGUGUGGUGUAUAUCGUGUGUUGAUGCUUGUUUCCGUUUCCCUCCGUCUCGUUAGAGUUCCGCAAGCGUGUCGGAUGUGAGGACCGUUCGACUGCAUCGGUUCGUCUGCUUCACGGAGUCAUUCUUCUUCCAAGCGGGAUCUCAGGCAAGAUGACCAUUUCCCCAGAUACCAUUACUAUCAUUGCCAUGCUAGUUAUACCGCUUCUUCGAUUAUGUCUCAUUGCCUACCACAUGUUAAAUAUCAGCCUCUCAACAAUGCCAUGAAACCUUCAACCUGUUCGACCUAGCAAACCACUGAUUGGAUAUGUUACCGCUUGCUUAACCCUGGGUUAGCGUUGCUAGUUGCAGGUGCAGUUGCUUCCAUGUGAUAACAUGGGUCCCUUGUUAUAUCACCCUAUUAAAUGCUAUCUAUUUUAAUGCACCUAUAUACUUGGUAAAAGGUGGAAGGCUCGGCCUUNNNNNNNNNNNNNNNNNNNNNNNNNNNNNNNNNNNNNNNNNNNNNNNNNNNNNNNNNNNNNNNNNNNNNNNNNNNNNNNNNNNNNNNNNNNNNNNNNNNNNNNNNNNNNNNNNNNNNNNNNNNNNNNNNNNNNNNNNNNNNNNNNNNNNNNNNNNNNNNNNNNCAUAAUUGAGCGCUCCUAACACGAUCCGGGUUGUUAUGGGGACCCCCUUGAUAAUUCGUUUUAGAUUAAAGCUGGUCUGGCAAGGCCCAACUUUGGUUUUACAUUUGCCCAACAUAAUAAUUCUGAUAAUACUGAAAUGCAUAGGGAGUUAGCGCUACCCGAGGAGUAAUUUUACAUAAACAGGAGGGGCCAGUGUUGAUGGUGUUGGUCCCAAACGGUCUGCCUGCGGGGCCACCGCGAGGAAACUAGAGGUUUGGCACUCGUAGCUAGUUCCAUCUGUCGUGUCCUGAGAACGAGAUACGCGGCUCCUAUCGGGUACGUCGACACGUCGGGCGGCCUUGCUGGAUUAGUUUUACCUUUGACAAGAUAUAUUCUGCCUCCUCCACUCCCUCCCUCCUAUACAUACUAGAGGGCAAAUAGGCUUUUUGCACCUCAAGCCAAAGCGCAACCCUCUCUCCCUCUAGAUCAUUUGCUCCUCUUGAUUAGUUCCGCAGAAGCUUGGCGAAGCCCUACUGGAUUAGUUCACCACCACCACCACCACCACGCCGCCAAGCUGGAGAACUCAUCUACCUCUCCGCCCCUCUUUUUGGAUCAAGAAGGCGGUGAUCGUCAUCAAGCCGCAUGUGUGCUGGACGUGGAGGUGUCGUAUAUUCGGCACUAGACCGGGACGGUUUGUGAUGAGAUCGCGGGAAGGACUGUGAUUUGGAUCACGAAGAUGUUCGACUAUAUCAACCGCGUUAUAUACGCUUCCGCUUAGUGAUCUACAAGGGUAUGUGGAUCCAAUCUCUCCUCUCGUAGAUGGUCAUCGCCAUGGAUAGAUCUUAUGUGCGCGUAUGAAUUUUUUUGUUUCCCAUGCGACGUUCCCCAAGAGUGUCAUCUUGAGCUAGGUAUAUGCGUAGAUAAUAUCUCGAGUAGAACACCAAAGAGUUUGUGGGCAUUGUUGUUCAAUUUGCUGCCCUCCUUAGUAUUUUCUUGAUGCAACGGUAUUGUUGGAUUGAAGCGGCCCGGACCAACCUUACUUGUACGCUUACGAGAGACCAGUUUCAUCGACUAACAUGCAACUUGUUGCAUAAAGAUGACUAGCGAGUGUUUGUUUCUUCAACUUUAGUUGAAUCGGAUUUAACCAAAGCGGUCCUUGGAGAAGGUUAAAUAGAAACUUGCAUAUCACCAUUGUGGUUUUGCGUAAGUAAGAUGCGAUCAUACUAGAUGCCCAUAACAGCCAUGUAAAACUUGCAAUAACAAAUUAGAGGACGUCUAACUUGUUUUUUGCAGGGUAUGUUGUGAUGUGAUGUGGCCAUAGACAUGAUAUGAUAUAUUGGAUGUAUGAGAUGAUCAUGUUGUAAUAGUUAAAUAUCGACUUGCACGUCGAUACUACGACAACCGGCAGGAGCCAUAGGGUUGUCUUUAAUUAUUUUGCGCUUGGUGAUGCUUUGCUUUAUCGCUAGUGGUAGCUUUAGUAGUAACAUCAUAGUUAGUGCGACAACGUCGAUGGCAACACAAUGAUGGAGAUCAUGGUGUGGCGCCUGUGAUGAUGGAGAUCAUGUUGGUGCUUUGGUGAUGGAGAUCAAGAAGCACAAGUUCGUGGCCAUAUCAUGACACUUAUGAUUUGCAUGUGAUGUUAAUCCUUUUAUGCACCUUGUUUUGCUUAGCACGAUGGUAGCAUUAUAAGGUGAUCCCUCACUAAAAUUUCAAGAUAAAAUUGUGUUAUCCCUCACUGUGCACCGUUGCAACAGUUCGUAGUUUCGAGACAUCACGUGAUGAUCGGGUGUGAUAGACUCUACGUUCACAUACAACGGGUGAAAAACAGUUGCACACGUGGAACACUCAGGGUAAACUUGAAGAGCCUAGCAUGUACAUACAUGGCCUAGGAAUACAAGAGAUCGAAAGGUCGAACAUGAGUCAUAUAGUGGAUAUGAUCAACGUGGAGAUGUUCACUAUUGAAGCUAAACUCAACUCACGUGAUGAUCGGACUUGAGUUAGUGAAUUUGGAUCAUGUACCACUCGAAUAACCAUAGGGAUGUCAAUUUGGGUGGGAGUUCUUAAGUAAUAUGAUUAUUUGAACUCAUUAUCAUGAACAUAGUCAAAAGGUCUUUGCAGAUUAUGUUGUAGCUUGCAUUGUAGCUCUACUAUUUUUGAUAUGUCCUAUAGAAUAUUUAGUUGAAAGAUGACAGUAGAAAUUAUGCGGACUAGGUUCGUAAACUAAGGAUUGUCCUCAUUGCUGCACAUAAGGCUUAUGUCCUUAAUGCACCGCUCGAUGUGGUGUACCCCGAGCAUCGUCUGUGGAUGUUGCGAACAUCUGACAUACACGUGUUUGAUGACUACGUGAUAGUUCAGUGAGUAAUGCUUAACGGCUUAGAAAUGAGGCGCCGAAGACAUUUUGAACGUCACAGAACAUAUGAGAUGUUCCAAGAGAUGAAAUUGGGAUUUCAGGCUCGUGCCCGUGUUGAGAGGUAUAAGGCCUCCGACAAGAUUCUUUGUCUACAAAGUAAGGGAGAAAAGCUCAAUCGUUGAGCAUGUGCUCAGAUUGUCUCGGUAUUACAAUCGCUUGAAUCAAGUGGGAGUUGAUCUUCCAGAUAAGAUAGUGAUUGGCAUAGUUCUCCAAAGUCACUGCCACCAAGCUACAGAGCUUUGUGAUGAACUAUAAAAUAUGAUGGAUAGAUAUGAUGAUCCUUGAGUUAUUCGCGAUGUUUGACACCGCGAAAGUAGAAAUCAAGUGGGAGCAUCAAUUUUUGAUGGCUAGUAAAACCACUAGUUUCCAGAAGGGCAAGGGCAAGAAGGGAUACUUCAUGACUGGCAAACCUGUUGCCACUCUAGUGAAGAAACCCAAGGUUGAACUCGAACCCGAGACUAAGUGUUUAUGAUAUGAAGGGAACAAUUACUAAAGCAGCACCACCCUUGAUACUUGGUAGAUGAGAAGGCUGGCAAAGUCGCCGAAAGUAUAUUGGAUAUACAUGAUAUUGAUGUGUACCUUACUAGUACUCCUAGUAGCAUCGGGGUAUAAGAUACCGGUUCAGUUGCUAAGUGUUAGUAACUCAAAAUAAAAUCUAUGGAAUAAAUGGAGACUAGCUAAAGGUGAGGUGAUGAUGUGUGUUGGAAGUGUUUUCAAAGUUGAUGUGAUCACCAUCGCACGCUCCCUCUACUUUCGAGAUUAGUGUUGAACCUAAAUGUUGUUUGUUGUUUGCGUUGAGCAUGAGCAUGAUUGGAUUGUAUUUAUUGCAAUACAAUUAUUCAUUUAAAGAGAAUAAUAGUUAUUUUGUUUACUUGAAUAAUACCUUCAACAGUCAUGCACCUAAUAUGAAUGGUUUAUUGAAUCUUGAUCGUAGUAUUACACAUGUUCAUAAUAUUUGAUGCCAACAUAUACAAAGUAGUAAUGAUCAUAUCACUUACUUGUGGCAUUGCUGCUUGAGUCAUAUUGGUAUAAAAUGCAUGAAGAAGCUCCAUACCGAUGGAUCUAUGGACUCGCUCAUUUUUGAAAUGUUACAGACAUGCGAACCAUGUCUAUUGGUCUAAACGCAUAAAAGAAACUCCAUGCAGAUGGAUCAUUUGGACUCACUUAAUUUUGAAUCACUUGAGACAUGCAAAUCAUUCCACAUGGGCAAGAUGACUGAAGGCCUCGUUUUCCAGUGAGAUGGAACAAGAAAGUAAAUUAUUGGAAGUAAUACAUUUUGAUGUAUGCAGUCCAAUGAGUGUUGAGGCACGCAGUGGAUAUCAUUAUAUUCUUACUUCACUCAUGAUUUGAGUAGAUGCAAGAGUAUUUGCUUGAUGAAUCACAAGUCUGAAAUAUUGAAAAGUUCAAGCUAUUUUAGAGUGAAGAUCGUCGUGACAAGAGGAUAAUAUGUUUACGAUGUGAUCGUGGAGGUAAAAUCUGAGUUGCGAGUUUGGUAGACAUUGAAAACAACGUGAAAAUUGUUUCACAAUUCAUGCCACGUGGAACACCAUAGUGUGAUGGUGUGUGUGAACACCAUAGUUGCGCCCUAUUGGAUGUGGUGCAUACUAUGAUGUCUCUUAUCGUAUUACCACUAUUGUUUUUGGGCUAGGCAUUAGAGACGACCGCAUUCACUUUAAAUAGGGUACCACAUAAGUCCGUUGAGAUGACACCGUAUGAACUAUGGUUCGGAGAAACCUAAGCUGACGUUUCUUAAAAGUUUGGGGCUAUGACGCUUAUGUGAAAAAGUUUCAGCGUGAUAAGCUCGAACCCAAAGCGGAUAAAUGCAUCUUCAUAGGACACACAAAACAGUUGGGUAUACCUCCUAUCUCAGAUCCAGAAGAAAAGUGUUUGUUUCUAGAAACGGGUCCUUUCUCGAAAAAAGUUUCUCUCGAAAGAAUUGAGUGGGAGGAUGGUGGAACUUGAUGAGGUUUUGAACCAUCACUUCAACCAUAGAGUAGAAGGCCGCAGGAAACUAUUCUUAUGGCGCCUACACUAGUUGAAGUGGAAGCUAGUGAUGGUGAUCAUUAAGCUUCAGAUCAAGUUACUUCGAAACCUCGUAGGUCGAAAGGGACACACACUACUCCAGAGUGGUACGGUAACUCUGUCUUAAAGGUCAUGUUGUUAGACAACAAUGAACCUACGAGCUAUGGAGAAGCGAUGGUGGGCCUGGAUUCCGACAAAUGGUCGAAGGUCAUGAAAUCCGAGAGAGGAUCCAUGUGUGAAAACAAAGUGUAGACUUUGGAAGAACUACUUGAUGGUCGUAAGGCUGUUGGGUACAUAUGGACUUUUAAAAGGAAGACGGACAAAUGGUUGGAGGCCAUGAAAUCUGAGAGAGGAUCCAUGUAUGAAAACAAAGUGUGGACUUUGGAAGAACUACUUGAUGGUCGUAAGACUGUUAAGUACAGAUGGAUCUUUAAAAGGAAGACAAACGAUGAUGGUGAAAAGUCACCAUUAAGAAAGCUCAACUUGUCGCAAAGAUGUUUCCGACAAGUUCAAAGAGUUGACUAUGAUGAGACUUUCUCACUCGCAGCGAUGCUAAAAGUUUUGUUGGAAUUAUGUUAGAAGUUGCUGCAUUAUUUAUGAAAUCUUGCAAAUAGGAUGUCAAAACAUUGUUUCCUCGAUGGUUUCCUUGAGGAAAGGUUGUAUGUGAUACAACCAGAAGGUUUUGUCGAUCCUAAGGAUGAUAACCAGUAUGCAAGCUCCAGCAAUCCUUCUAAGGACUGGAGUAAGCAUCUCAGAGUUGGAAUAUGCGCUUUGAUGAGAUGAUCAAAGCUUUUGGGUUUAUACAAAGUUUAUGAGAAACUUGUAUUUCCAAUAAAGUGAGUGGGAGCACUAUAGAAUUUCUGAUAAGUAUAUGUGAUCAGAAAUAAUGUACAAUUUCUGGAAAGCAUAAAGGGUUGUUUGAAAGGAGUUUUUCAAAGGAAAACCUCGAUUGAGCUACUUGAACAUUGAGCUUAAUAGAACUUUCAAAUGAAUAUAUACUGUAACAAGAUUUUGAAGGAGUUCAAAAUAGAUCAGUCAAAGAAAGAGUUCUUGGUUGUGUUAUAAGGCGUGAGUAUUGAGUAAGACUCAAAAUCCGACCACGGUGGAAGAAAGAGAAAGGACGAAAGUCGUCCCCUAUGCACUAGCCGUAGGCUCUAUAGUAUGAUAUGUUGUGUACCGCACCUGAUGUGUGCCUUGGAAUGAAUCUGCCAAGGGGCAAAGAAGUGAUCCAGGAAUGGAUUACUGGACAACGGCCAAAAGUUGUCCUUAGUAACUAGUGGACUAAGGAAUUUUUUCUCGGUUAUGGAGGUGAUAAAAGAGUUCGUCGUAAAGGGUUACAUCAAUGAAGCUUUGACACUAAUUCAGAUGACUCUGAGUAGUAAACCGGAUUCGUAUAGUGGAGCAGUCAUUUGGAAUAGUUCCAAAUGGCGCGUGGGAGCAACAUCUACAGGACGACAUAGAGAUUUGUAAAGCACACACGAAUCUAAAAGGUUCAGACCCGUUGACUAAAAACCUCACUCACAAGCAAGAUAUGAUCAAACCCCAUGGGUGUUAGAUUCAUUGCAAUCACAUAGUGAUGUGAACUAGACUAUUGACUCUAGUGCAAGUGGGAGACUGUUGGAAAUAUGCCCUAGAGGCAAUAAUAAAUUGGUUAUUAUUAUAUUUUCUUGUUCAUAAUAAUCGUUUAUUAUAUAUGCUAGAAUUGUAUUGAUUGGAAACCCAAAUACAUGUGUGGAUACAUAGACAACAUACUGUCCCUAGUGAUCCUCUAUUUGACUAGCUCGUUGAUCAAAGAUGGUCCAGGUUUCCUGGCCAUAGACAAGUGUUGUCACUUGAUAAUGAGAUAACAUCAUUAGGAUAAAGAUGUGAUGGACAAGACCCAAACUAUGAACGUAGCAUAUAAUCGUGUCAAUUUAUUGCUAUUGUUUUCUCGAUGUCAAUGUAUUUGUUCCUAUGACCAUGAGAUCAUGUAACUUCCAGACACCGGAGGAGUACCUUGUGUGUAUCAAAUGUCUCAACGUAACUGUGUGACUAUAAAUGUGCUCUACAGGUAUCUCCGAAGGUAUCUAUUGGGUUAGCAUGGAUCAAGACCGGGAUUUGUCACUCCGUGUGACGGAGAGGUAUCUCGGGGCCCACUCGGUAAUACAACAUCACAAUAAGCCUUGCAAGCAAUGUGACUAAGGAGUUAGUCACGGGAUCUUGUAUUAUGGAACGAGUAAAGAGACUUGCGAGUAACGAGAUUGAACUAGGUAUAGAGAUACCGACAAUCGAAUCUCGAGCAAGUAACAUACCGAAGGACAAAGGGAACAACAUACGAAAUUAACUGAAUCCUUGACAUAGAGGUUCAACCGAUAAAGAUCUUUGUAGAAUAUGUAGGAGCCAAUAUGGGCAUCCAGGUCCCGUUGUUGGCUAUUGACCAGAGAAUGUCUCAGUCAUGUUUACAUAGUUCUUGAACCCGUAGGGUCUGCACACUUAAGGUUCAUUGACGUUUCGGUAUUAUUGAGUUGUGUGUGUUGGUAAAAAAAAGUUGUUCGGAGUCCUGGAUGAGAUCCUGGACAUCACGAGGAGCUCCGUAAUGGUCCGGAGGUAAAUAUUGAUAUAUAGGAAAGUUGCAUUUGGCUUCUGGAAAGUUUUCGGGCAUUACCGGUAAAGUACCGGGAGUGACGAAUGGGUCCCGGGGUUUUACCGGGAGGUGCCACCCACCCGAGAGAGAACAUAAUAGGCCUGAAGAUGGUGCACCAUCCCUUAGUGGGCUAGUGUGGCCAGCCCAAGAGGGCCUAUUUCGUCCAAGGAGCAAAAGAAGGGGAAAAUCCCCAAAGGAGAGGAGGUUUCCAAGUAGGAGGAGUCCUACUUGGAGUAGGAUUGGAGGUGGACUCUUCCACCUCCACGUAUUCGGCCGAGCCAAGUAUUUGCUUUUUGGCUGCCUCCUCCCCUCCCUCCCUCCUAUAUAUACUAGAGGGUAGAGAGGCUUUUUGCACCUCAAGCCAAGGCGCAACCCUCUCUCCCUCUAGAUCGUUUACUCCUCUUGGUUAGUUCCGCAAAAGCUUGGCGAAGCCCUACUGGAUUAGUUCACCACCACCACCACCACACCGCCAUGUUGGAGAACUCAUCUACCUCUCCGCUCCUCUUGCUGGAUCGAGAAGGCGGUGAUCGUCAUCAAGUCGUACAUGUGCUGAACAUGGAGCUGUCGUUCGUUCAGCACUCGAUCGGGAUGAUUCGUGAUGAGAUCGCGAGACGGACUGCGAUUUGGAUCGCGAAGAUGUUCAACUACAUCAACCGCGUUAUAUACGCUUCCGCUUAGCGAUCUACAAGGGUAUGUGGUGUUGGAAAUAUGCCCUAGAGGCAAUAAUAAAUUAGUUAUUAUUAUAUUUCUUUGUUCAUGAUAAUCGUUUAUUAUCCAUGCUAUAAUUGUAUUGAUUGGAAACACAAUACUUGAAAGGAUCGAUAUGGUUGGCUAGACGGAGGGGGUGAAUAGACAACGACCACUUUUUAAUUAAUCUUAACAAGUUAAGGUAAACACUAUACGGGUUCACAAAUAAUAUGACAAAGAGGUGAACCCUAUAGAAGCUAACAACUAGAGCUAUUAAGACAAGUAAGAUAUAGUCACAAGCAUAAGCAAAUACAAAGUAAAGGUUAGAGAUAACCACAAGUGGAACCGAUGGAGACGAGGAUGUGUUACCGAAGUUCCUUCCCUUUGACAUGAAGUACUUCUCCGUUGGAGCGGUGUGGAGGCACAAUGCUCCCCAAAAAGCCACUAAGGCCACCGUAUUCUCCUCACGCCCUCGCACGAUGCAAGGUACCGUGAUUCCACUAUAGGUGCCCUUGAAGGCGGCGACCGAACCUUUACAAACAAGGUUGGGGCAACUCCACACAAAGCUUGGAGGCUCCCAACUAAACCACGAAGCUUCACCACAAUGGAAUAUGGCUUCGAGGUGACCUCAACCGUCUAGGAUGCUCAAACACCCAAGAGUAACAAGAUCCGCAAGGGAUUGGUGGGGGAAUCAACUUUUCUCUUGGUGGAAGUGUGGAUCUAGGCCUUCUCAACCAAUCCCUAAAGAAUCAACAAGUUUGAUUGGCUAGGGAGAGAGAUCGGGCACUUUAGAGCUUGUGGAGCAACAAUGGAGCUUAGAGAGGUAAGAGAUAGGGUUCCUCAGCUAGAAGAACCCUUUAUAUAGUGGGGGGGGAAUCAGACCGUUUUCCCACUCUCUGCCCGAGUACCAGCGGUACUACCGCUGUGCCGGAGCGGUACUACCGCUGGGCCUCCAGCGGUACUACCGCUGAGCCUCCAGCGGUACUACCGCCGGCCCCUUGGUAGUGCACAAGGACUACUACCUCCGGGAAAGUCUUCGCAAAAGGGUCCGUCCACAAACUACCGCUAGGUAGGUGGAACAAAACACCUGGAGCGGUACUACCGCUGACCAGGGGCGGUACUACCGCUGGCUGCAGCGGUACUACCGCUGGCAGUCCAGCGGUACUACCGCUGGGGACCAUUUUGCAGAGAUAAACGAGACGAAUAGGCGAGGGCUGCUCCAAAAGAUAAGGAAAGGGAGAAUGUGAAGUGUGCGUGUGUAAAGAUAGAUUCCACCCAAACCUUUCCACUACGGAUCCCCUCUUAAUAGUACGGGUUUCCUAUGACUCAAAUAAAGAGAAUCGUAGAGAGCGCCGUGCUUCCGUUCCUGAAGAGAGGAGACGUGUCGUCUUGUGCCGUUGACGAGUGUUACCUGAAACUUUGACACACACGGUUAGUCCUGUACGGUACUGUCAUCAAUCACCAAAAUUACUUAGGCAUAAACUAUGCCCCAACAAUACUUGUGUGGAUACAUAGACAAAACACUGUCCCUAGUAAGCCUNNNNNNNNNNAAUGUAGAAUUUAUGUAAAGCAUACAAGGUUGUUUGAAAGGAGUUUUCAAAGGAAUACCUGGAUUGAGCUACUUGAACGUUGAGCAUCAAAAGAUCUAUGGAGAUAGAUCGAAAGCGCUUAAUGGAAGUUUCAACAAGAUGCAUGCCUUGACAAGUUUUUGAAGGAGUUCAAAAUAGAUCAGCAAAGAACGAGUUCUUAGUUGUGUUGUAAGGUGUGAAUUUGAGUAAGACUCAAAACCCGACCACGGCAGAAUAAAGAGAAUAGACGAAGGUCGUCUUCUAUGCCUUAGCCGUAGACUCUAAAGUAUGCCAUGCUGAGUACCGCACCUGAUGUGUGCCUUGCAACAAGUCUGUUAAGAGCUACACAGAGUGAUCCAGGAUUGAAUCACUGAUCAGCGGUCAAAGUUAUCCUUAGUAACUAAAUAGACUAAGGAAUUUUUCUCGAUUAUGGAGGUGCUUAAAGAGUUCGUCGUAAAGGGUUACGUCGAUGCAAGCUUUGACACUAAUCCGAAUAACUAUGAGUAGUGAAACGGAUUCGUAUAGUAGAGCAGAUAUUUGGAGUAUUUCCGAAUAGCACAUAGUAGCAGCAUCUAUAAGAUGACAUAAAGAUUUGUAAAGAACACACGGAUCUGAAAGUUUCAGAACCGUUGACUAAAACCUCCCUCAAGAGCAAGACGUGAUCAGACCCCAUAACUAUAUGGGUGUUGGAUUCGUUGGAAUCACAUGGUGAUGUGAACUAGAUUAUUGACUCUAGUGCAAGUGGGAGACUGUUGGAAAUAUGCCCUAGAGGNNNNNNNNNNNNNNNNNNNNNNNNNNNNNNNNNNNNNNNNNNNNNNNNNNNNNNNNNNNNNNNNNUAUUGGAAACACAAUACUUGUGUGGAUACAUAGACAAAACACUGUCCCUAGUAAGCCUCUAGUUGACUAGCUCGUUGAUCAAAGAUGGCCAAGGUUUCCUGGCCAUAGGCAAUUGUUGUUACUUGAUAACGGGAUCACAUCAUUAGGAGAAUCAUGUGAUGGACUAGACCCAAACUAAUAGACGUAGCAUGUUGAUCGUGUCAUUUUGUUGCUACUGUUUUCUGCGUGUCAAGUAUUUGUUCCUAUGACCAUGAGAUCAUAUAACUCACUGACACCGGAGGAAUACUUUGUGUGUAUCAAACGUCGCAACGUAACUGGGUGACUAUAAAGAUGCUCUACACGUAUCUCCGAAGGUGUUAGUUGAGUUAGUAUGGAUCAAGACUGGGAUUUGUCACUCCGUGUGACGGAGAGGUAUCUCGGGGCCCACUCGGUAAUACAACAUCACACACAAGCCUUGCAAGCAAUGUGACUUAGUGUAAGUUACGAGAUCUUGUAUUACGGAAUGAGUAAAGAGACUUGCCGGUAAACGAGAUUGAAAUAGGUAUGCGGAUACUAACGAUCGAAUCUCAGGCAAGUAACAUACCGAAGGACAAAGGGAAUGACNNNNNNNNNNGUUGAAAUAGGUAUACAGAUACUGACGAUCGAAUCUCGGGCAAGUAACAUACCGAAGGACAAAGGNNNNNNNNNNGGAUCUUGUAUUAUGGAACGAGUAAAGCGACUUGCCGGUAAACGAGAUUGAAAUAGGUAUGCGGAUACUGACGAUCGAAUCUCAGGCAAGUAACAUACCGAAGGACAAAGGGAAUGACAUACGGGAUUAUAUGAAUCCUUGGCACUGAGGUUCAAACGAUAAGAUCUUCGUAGAAUAUGUNNNNNNNNNNUGAGUAAAGAGACUUGCCGGUAAAACAAGAUUGAAAUAGGUAUACGGAUACUGACGAUCGAAUCUCGGGCAAGUAACAUACCGAAGGACAAAGGGAAUGACAUACGGGAUUAUACGAAUCCUUGGCACUGAGGUUCAAACGAUAAAGAUCUUCGUAGAAUAUGUAGGAUCCAAUAUGGGCAUCCAGGUCCCGCUAUUGGAUAUUGACCGAGGAGUCUCUCGGGUCAUGUCUACAUAGUUCUCGAACCCGCAGGGUGUGCACACUUAAGGUUCAACGUUGUUUUAUGCGUAUUUGAGUUAUAUGGUUGGUUACCGAAUGUUGUUCGGAGUCCCGUAUGAGACCACGGACGUCACGAGGGUUUCCGGAAUGGUCCGGAAACGAAGNNNNNNNNNNNNNNNNNNNNNNNNCUGUUCGGAGUCCCGGAUGAGAUCACGGACGUCACGAGGGUUUCCGAAUAGUCCGGAAACAAAGAUUGAUAUAUAGGAUGACCUCAUUUGAUUACCGGAAGGUUUUCGGAGUUACCGGGAAUGUACCGGGAAUGACGAAUGGGUUCCGGGAGUUCACCGGAGGGGGGCAACCCACUCCGGGGAAGCCCAUGGGCAUUUGGGGGGGUCACACCAGCCCUUAGUGGGCUGGUGGGACAGCCCACCAAUCCCCUAUGCGCCAAGAGAGAAAAAAUCAAAGGAAAGAAAAAAAGGGAAGAAGUGGGAAGGGGGAAGGACUCCCUCCCACCAAACCAAGUAGGACUCGGUUUGGGGGGGAGAGUCCUCCCCCCUGGCUCGGCCGACCCCUUGGGGAUCCCUUGGACCCCAAGGCAAGGUCCCCCUCCCUCCUCCUAUAUAUAUGNNNNNNNNNNGCAACCCACUCCGGGGAAGCCCAUAGGCUUUUGGGGGACACACCAGCCCUUAGUGGGCUGGUGGGACAGCCCCAAGGGAGCCUAUGCGCCAAGAUAAGAAAAUCAAAGGAAAAGAAAGAAAAAAGAGGGAAGAAGUGGGAAGGGAGGGGGACUCCUCCCACCAAACCAAGUCCAACUCGGUUUGGGGGGGGAGUCCUCCCCCCCCUUGGCUCGGCCGACCCCUUGGAAGUCCCUUGGACCCCAAGGCAAGGUCCCCCUCCCUCCUCCUAUAUAUAUGGGGCUUUUAGGGCAGAUUUGAGACGACUUUCUCACGGCUGCCCGACCACAUACCUCCAUAGUUUUUCCUCUAGAUCGUGUUUCUGCGGAGCUCGGGCGGAGCCCUGGUGAGACAAGAUCAUCACCAACCUCCGGAGUGCCGUCACGCUGCCGGAGAACUCUUCUACCUCUCCGUCUCUCUUGCUGGAUCAAGAAGGCCGAGAUCAUCGUCGAGCUGUACGUNNNNNNNNNNNNNNNNNNNNNNNNNNNNNNNNNNNNNNNNNNNNNNNNNNNNNNNNNNNNNNNNNNNNNNNNNNNNNNNNNNNNNNNNNNNNNNNNNNNNCUUCGUGCGCGUAGGAAUUUUUUUGUUUCCCAUGCGACGUUCCCCAACAGUGGCAUCAUGAGCUAGGUUCAUGCGUAGAUGUCUUCUCGAGUAGAACACAAAAGGUUUUGUGGGCGGUGAUGUGCGUUUUGCUGCCCUCCUUAGUCUUUUCUUGAUUCCGCGGUAUUGUUGGAUUGAAGCGGCUUGGACCGACAUUACUCGUACGCUUACGAGAGACUGGUUUCAUCGUUACGAGUAACCGCCUUUGCUCAAAGAUGACUGGCAAGUGUCGGUUUCUCCAACUUUAGUUGAAUCGGAUUUGACCGAGGAGGUCCUUGGAUGAGGUUAAAUAGCAACUCAUAUAUCUCCGUUGUGGUGUUUGCGUAAGUAAGAUUCGGUCCUACUAGAUACCCUUGGUCACCACGUAAAACUUGCAACAACAAAAUUAGAGGACGUCUAACUUGUUUUUGCAGGGUAUGANNNNNNNNNNNNNNNNNNNNNNNNNNNNNNNNNNNNNNNNNNNNNNNNNNNNNNNNNNNNNNNNCUUGUGAUGUGAUAUGGACAGCGAUGUGAUGUGAUAUAUUGGAUGUAUGAGAUGAUCAUGUUGUAAUAGAUAAUAUCGACUUGCACGUCGAUGGUACGCAACCGGCAGGAGCCAUAGGGUUGUCUUUAUACUAACGUUUGUGCUUGNNNNNNNNNNCGUCGAUGGUACGGCAACCGGCAGGAGCCAUAGGGUUGUCUUUAUACUAACAUAUUCGUGCUUGCAGAUGCGUUUACUAUUUUGCUAGGAUGUAGCUUUAGUAGUNNNNNNNNNNUGUCGAUGGUACGACAACCGGCAGGAGCCAUAGGGUUGUCUUUAUACUAACGUUUGUGCUUGCAGAUGCGUUUACUAUUUUGCUAGGAUGUAGCUUGAGUAGUAAUAGCAUAAGUAGCACGACAACCCCGAUGGCAACACGUUGAUGGAUGAUCAUGGUGUGGCGCCGGUGACAAGAAGAUCGUGCCGGUGCUUUGGUGAUGGAGAUCAAGAAGCACGUGAUGAUGGCCAUAUCAUGUCACUUAUGAAUUGCAUGUCAUGUUAAUCCUUUUUAUGCACCUUAUUUUGCUUAGAACGACGGUAGCAUUAUGAGGUGAUCUCUCACUAAAAUUUCAAGACGAAAUUGUGUUCUCCCCGACUGUGCACCGUUGCUACAGUUCGUCGUUUCGAGACACCACGUGAUGAUCGGGUGUGAUAGACUCAACGUUCACAUACAACGGGUGCAAAACAGUUGCGCACGCGGAACACUCGGGUUAAGCUUGACGAGCCUAGCAUGUGCAGACAUGGCCUCGGAACACAUGAGACCGAAAGGUCGAGCAUGAAUCGUAUAGUUGAUAUGAUUAGCAUAGAGAUGCUUACCACUGAAACUAUUCUCGACUCACGUGAUGANNNNNNNNNNNNNNNNNNNNNNNNNNNNNNNNNNNNNNNNNNNNNNNNNNNNNNNNNNNNNNNNNNNNNNNNNNNNNNNNNNNNNNNNNNNNNNNNNNNNGGAGAGGAUCCAGCGCUACUCACAAGUUAGCAGUAGCUCCGGUGCGGAUCCAGCGCUACUGCUAGAUUUAGUUAACCGGCUAACUCGAUCACCUCUCCCCCACUCCUUCCCUCUCCGUUCGACCGGCCCUCUCUCCCUCUCGCCUGUGAUCCAGCGCGCUGCUUCUUCCCUCUCCGCCACUGACUCCCUCCAAGUGUCGUCGUGCCACCUCCACACGUCGCCGCCCCUCCAAGCGCCGCCGGGCCACCUUCAUGCGCCGUUGUUCGACCACCUCCCCUCCCGCUCCGGUAAGCCCCCCGCCCCCUCCUCCCUACCGCCUCGCUCGCCCACCCUAGCACCACACCGCACGCCUCCCCCUGUCGUGGACGCCCCCGUUGACCGUGGACGCAACAUUUUCACCUAAAGUUUGUUCAAAGGUUAUUCAAUCCAUCUAAAGUAAUAUAUGUGGAUAGGAGAUAGUAGUAGUGUUUAUCAGUAAUUUUGGUAUGAGGAUCUACCAAUGCAUCUAGGGGUUAAGAGACUUAGUGAAGAUGGGGUGGUUGCUGACCUAGGGCAUGUAAGAAUGUUUGGGGGGAAUUUUUGCAAUAUGGUUAGGCAUGAGAGGUUGUUCAUAAUAUUCUCUGUUUUACCCCAUCUUUUGUACUUGUUCAUUGUUGCUAUAUCCUAGUGGCCUAUGUUUUGUCGGAAUGUUGAUUCAUUUCCGUUCCGGAAAAUUUCAAACGCUCCAUAUAUCCACUUUUUAGUAAAUGUCAUGCCCAAAUUUUUUCUGUUUUAGGAAAUGUCUGACGACGAAGGGGAAUUCGUUAUGUGCGAAUACUGCCAAGACAAGCGCGGCCUUUGCGACACGCCUUGCCUAGUUGAUGAUAGGCGCUUCAGCAUCAUGCUGGAUGAGGACUUUGAAGUGGAUACAGUAAGUCACAACGACAAGUCCACUUGAUAGGCUUGAAAAGCAUCUUUGUAUGCGAUGGUGCUCUUCCAGAUCUCUGUAUGGCAGUUGGUCUCUUUUUUUUCCGACAUUGCUAUGGUGGUGUCGGAGGAUAUUUGUGGACUAUGUUUCGAUGAGGCACAAGUUUCUUCAAGGAUGAAAUAGUAAUUUUACUUCAUGUGGAACUCUUUGUGCAAAGUUGUUGACAAGCAUGUUUAUCUCUUAUGAUGACCAUAUGUGUAAUUUUUGUGAACAAAUUAUCUAAUGAAAUACUCCCUCCAUCCGGAAAUACUUGUUUUAAAAAUGAAUAUAAUGAAUGUAUCUAUAACUAAAAUAAGUCUAGAUACAUUUAUCUUUAGGAUAAUUAUUUCCGGACGAAGGUAGUACGAUGUUGCUUAAAAAAGACGCCCAUCGAAUUCAGAAAGAGACAAUACCAAAAGGCUAAAACUGGAAAGACGAUACCUCCUAAAAGUGCCAAAACUAGAAGGAUCAGCAAUCCCCACUCAUGUGCAAUAAACAGUCUAGAACUUCGACUCUUCUUAACGACAUAAACAAUAAUUGAGCCUGAAAGAUUGGCAUCGCCGCCCGACAAAUGAAACAAUGAACUCUCACUCACCAUGUACUCUUGCUUCAGUUGAGCGCCGUGGGAAAGCUCAAUCAGCAAAGCUAAUCAAAGCGUUUUUAGAACGUACCACCACACCUUUUGAUGGCAGCUAGGGCAUGUUGAAGCAUUUAUAUUGAUUUUUUUUCUUCAAUGCAACCUAUUACUAGUGGGCAUCAUCAAGGGGAAAAAAACUCUGAUCUACAUGCAUCUCUAUUUUUUACUUUAACUUUUCAGCUUUUUACAUCGAAUUACAUCUUUUCUUCCUAAGCACCGCCUCUUGCUGGAUCCCGCUACACCAUCCGAGACCAUACACGAUCCUACAUGGCAUGUGGGACAUCAUUUUGAGGCUAUGCAUUGGGCAUGCACUUAUGCCCUUGAUUGCAUCACACCAUACGGAGCACACAUGAAGGAUGGGAAGACUUUCGCCGACAAGCAAAGUGGACUCGGGUAACACGGUGUAUACACCGACACUGGGGGCUAAUUUUUGUGUUAUGACCCUUUUAUGAAAAAUGAUCGAGAUCUAACCUAGUUUGUAAAAAAAAUAGGUUCUGAUCAUUUUCCUAUCAUCGGGAUCCAUGACGAUAAGGUACAACGGCCUACCGCCGGGGUCCAUGACGAUAGAGUAUAGCAACCUACUGUCAAGGUUCCUCGCAGUAGGGAUGUACGCCCUACCGUAAAAAUUUCCUAAGCAUCGGAUACAAUGCGUGUUCGCACCUACAGUCGAGCACCUCGAUGAUAGGGUUGUAUAGACUACCGUCAACUUAUUUGACGAUAGAGGUGCGUCGCGCUCACUUUAAUAAGUUUUCUACGGACACCGAUGGUAGGAAAAAAAGUCAGAUCUCAAAAUUUUUACAAACCAGAGUCAGAUCUCGCUCAACUUCUGUAAAAGGGUCAAAAGGCAUGGAUUGUUUUCUCGGACAUCUGAUACGCGUGUGCUUUAAAGCAUCUAUAGUCGGACCCCUCCUAUCCAUCUCAAACGUCCGGGUAGGCUAUCCGGUUACUAGUCGUUCACAAAAAAUCAAUCUCUAAUAUGAAGACGGUAUGAGGGCUCGCAAACGCGCCCGGGCACGCCCGAUCAGUCCGCCACCUCGGACGUGACCCCAUUCCGGACCACCUUUUCUCUUUGUUUAUUUAUUAUUUCAUUAUUUAUUUCUCUCCCUUCUUCAUCAAUCACGUGCAACUGAUCGGACAGAUGAGGAAAAAUAUGAUUAUACGGAUGAAAAAAUAGAGGCUCAAAAUGAACACGCUCGGUCACUGACCGGACGCGUCCACGAAUGCUUGAGGAACCGGAUUUAGAGCAAGUAUAAUAAGAUACAGACAACAGGCUGUAAGGAUUAAAAUACUAUAUUUUUGCUGAGUUGGAUGAGAGAGAAGAGGAGAGAGAAGGGAAGCGGGCUCUUCGUGAAGAGUCAGCUCUAGCACGUGCUCCUAGGUGCUUUGUGAGAAUGAAAGGUGAGCCAUAUAUGAUAAAAGUAGUACUCCCUCCAUCACAGUUUAUAAGGCGUGCACGCGUACUUAGGUCGUCAAUUUGACUUAUAUAAAAUAUAUUGUUUAACAUAAAAAAUAUAUUAUUAGAAAAUAGAACAUCUAAAGUUUCUAAUGAUAUAUUUUUUGUAAUAUAUGUCUCUUAUUAAAUUGAUCAAAUAAACGACCUAGAUACACGUGCCGGACUUAGAGCAUCUCUAGUGGAUGGUGUAUAUUUGAACGUGUAUAUCUUCAUAUACACGUCCAUAUACACGGCGUGGAAAUUAUACACGUCCUAGUUUUUCAGUGAAACGUGUAAAUUAGGACGUGUAUAUUCCCCUCAUUCUUUCCCCCUCUGCAAGAUAAGAGAUUCAGUAGUGCACACAGGUUCAGAGAACAAGACAGGGGAGCUUCGCCGCAUUGCAGCCGUCUCCCUCGUCGCCGGCAGCCUUCCCCGUGGCAUCCAAGAUGUCCAUGGACUCGAGGGUGCCUCCCUCGUUCCAUUCCCAUCGCUAGGGUGACCGGUGGGCCACCACAGCGACGGCACCAACCUCGUCUCCGACGAGUACCCGGAGCCAAAGCCCUGCAGCAGGAGGAGGAGCCCCCGUGCUCCAGCCAGCCAUUUCGGCGCCCGACGCAGCCCCUGUCCCGGCCUUGCCUGAGGAGGAGCAGCAACUGCGGGGCGGACGGGAACCCUAGAGGCCUCGCACCUCCGAGAUCCGUCCGAACUGGGGGUGAGGACGGCGCGGCCGGGCCGCAAGCGGCGUGGGCGGGACGGGCAGGCGUCCGGGCACAGGGAGCCCUGGCCUUGCUUCUCAGGGAGGAGGAGGCGGCGGUGGGCCGGCGGGCGGCGGUGGGCCGGCGGGCGGCGGCCGGAGGAAGGGGGAGGGGAGACCGGAGGCGGCUGCGCGGCCUUGCUCCUCAGGGAGGAGGAGCCCCCUACUCCAGCGCCACCGCCAGCCCGCACCCCGCAGCGNNNNNNNNNNNNNNNNNNNNNNNNNNNNNNNNNNNNNNNNNNNNNNNNNNNNNNNNNNNNNNNNNNNNNNNNNNNNNNNNNNNNNNNNNNNNNNNNNNNNNNNNNNNNNNNNNNNNNNNNNNNNNNNNNNNCACGACGAGUAGCCUCGUGGAUGGACGUGUAUAACUUCCACGCCCGUAUACACGUUCCACUGGGAGGCAUUUUUCUGUUAGCAACGUGUAUAUUUACCAUCCACCUCCAUAUACACCAUCCACUAGAGAUGCUCUUAUAAACUGAAACGGAGGAAGUACUUUUUUAUAGCUAACUAUUGUACAAGCUAGCUAUAAGAUUGACUAUAAGAUGGCUUAUAGCCAGCAGUUGACUAUACUGUUAACCAUGCUCUUACAAGUUCCAUCCGUAGAUGCUCUAGGCAUGGCACGACGACGUAUGUCGUUGGGACAGUCUUAGAGCAUCUCUAGUGGAACGUGUAUACACCUUGCUAAAUUUUACACCUCCCAGUUUUUCAGUGGAACGUGUAUACAGGACGUGGAAAUCAGGACGUGUAUAUUCCAACGGCUAUAUUUUCAAACGGCUAUAUUUUCAACGGCUAUAUUUUCAACGGCCAUAUUUCUGGUCUAUAUAAACCGCCCCAAUCACCUCUCUUCCAGCAUUUCUAGUUGUGCCUCAUCUUCUCACUUCUAGAUUUCUCUAUCGUCUCUCACACAACACAAUGAACACAUUCUCUUGGGACAUGAGUUCUUCAUCAUCUUCAUCGGGCGACGAUGAACUCAUACUUGCGGCAUUAGCCGAUCGCGAGGAGGAAGAGAGGAUGAACACUCGACGCCAUGGCGGUUCCAUGCAUGGACGUCAGUCAAUCGAUCGAGGAAGAGAUGCCGGAUUUCUUCUUCUCUGGAACGACUAUUUCAAAGAAGUUCCUCGCUUUUCCGAACAUUUGUUUCGACGAAGGUUCGUAAUUAGUACACUUCUCUGCUUUGGUUCUUUUUUCAUUUCCCCGUCUCAUUGACUUUUUAUGCAUAGAUUUAGGAUGUCGCGUACUUUGUUCAACCGCAUAGCUGAUGGUAUACUUGAACAUGACUAUGAUGGUUAUUUUACGCAAAAAAGAAGUGCUUCUGGAGCUCUUGGGUUACAUCCUCUACAAAAGAUGACCGCGGCAAUGCGGAUCCUCACAUAUGGAAUAGCAACUGAUGGUGUUAAUGAGUACAUCGGGUCCGCUGAGGCUACUAAUUUAGAGUCUUGCAAGAAAUUUGUGAUCAAAGUUUGUGAAGUUUCUGAGGAAAAGUACAUGAGAUCUCCAAAUGAAGAAGACAUUGCUAGGUUACUUGCAAUAGGUGAGGAAAGAGGAUUACCUACAAUACUGCCAGUGAUAUGCACAAACAAUACAGAAGUGAGAACACGAAUUGUUCUCCUUGCCUACAAUAUUGCCAGUGAUUGAUUCCCCCCAUAAUUCACUUCUAUUGCAUUCUUGAAGCAGCAGCAGCGGGUUCNNNNNNNNNNNNNNNNNNNNNNNNNNNNNNNNNNNNNNNNNNNNNNNNNNNNNNNNNNNNNNNNNNNNNNNNNNNNNNNNNNNNNNNNNNNNNNNNNNNNNNNNNNNNNNNNNNNNNNNNNNNNNNNNNNNNNNNNNNNNNNNNNNNNNNNGUGCGCCCCAGACCUCUCUGGAAUGGAAAAUAGAAGGGAGGGAGAGAGCUUACCAGAGGGGAGUGGUCGCCGGCGAGCUUCGAUGGCCUUUGGACGGAGGCGGGAGCAGCUUGUUUCCCUUUCCACUAGCGUGGCCGAGCCGUGUGUAUUUGCACGAGAAGUAGCGUUGUGGAUGGACAUGUAAAACUUCCACGUCCGUAUACACGAUCCACUGGGAAGUGUUUUUCAGUUUUCAUAGUAUAUAUUUAGUUUUCAUAGUAUAUAUUUACCAUCCAUCCGUAGAUGCUCUAACAAGUUCCAUCCGUAGAUGCUCUAGGCAUGGCACAACGACGUAUGUCGUUGGGACAGCCGAACGACAGGCGUGUGGCGCAGUCAGGGGGUGGGGUGCCUAGAGAGGCCUACACGCCGCGUGAACCCCAGCUUUUCCGUUGUUGGGCGAACCCCUCCGCCCCUCACCACCGAAGGAGCCCUCCGGAAAAGGCCAACUCCGGGAGCUUUCCUUUGCCCCCCACGCCACGCGGAAAGCGAAAGAGGUUAGCUAGCUUUCCAGCUCCAAAGUUGCAAGUGCGACGCCGCCCGCCCAUGGGUGGACGGACGGGUGGCGGCCUUCAGGUUCAGGUUUAGGCGGGCGGCCACCGGCCUGGCCGGUGAGAAGGACCUGGGACGGCAUUUUUCUUUCAGCGCACAGGGGAAGAAGAAUCCCCGCGAUGCCCAUGAUGGCUCGAUUUGUCAAACGCUAGCUAUAACCUAGAAAGAAAAGAAGAAAAGGAAGAAAAGGCUAAAACAGCAUGGCGAAAAUCUGAAGAGCUAAAGUCACAGGCCACAGGUCACGGAGUAGCAACACGACGCGCACCGCAAAUCUAUCUUAAAUUCCUUAGCUUGCAGGACAGCCGAUCGCCAGCCACCGGCCAAGGCGGCCAGCGGCGCUGCCGGCACGACCACCCUGGCUCGCCGUGGAUGACGCACCGUACUACCGCCGUAGUGCUAGUGUCCGCCCGUGGCCACGCAGCCGCGACCGCGCACGAGACGAGCGCAGCGAAAUGGCAUGGACGGACCCACCAACCCUAGGACCCCGAUCCGAUGGUCGUUCUCCUUCCAUCCAUCCUUGCCCCACCGACCCCGUGGCCUACUCCACGGCUGUUCCCGAGCUGGCCUCCACCCCACCCUCGGGGUCACUGCACUGUCGCUCGGCUCCGCUUACAACAAAUCCAGUAGAAAGCAACAAAGAAUUCCUCGCCUCGAGAUGCCACAUACCACCAGUGGUCGCGUGGAGCGCCACUACAGUACCAGCGGUUUUUUAAAGGUGACCAGACCAGAUCUGCCCCUGCCCAGCCUCAGAUCCAUUCCGCUUCCGCCCGCGUGAUGCACGUACGAACGAGCACGAGCAUUCUAGUGCUAGUUGCUACUAGCACUAUACCAAUACGUACUAUAUAUGUAUACUACACCCUCCAAGAUCCGAUCUGCUGGAGCAACUUAGAGCUAGAAAUCAAGCUACGAGCUACUGUAGUUAUGGACGAAGCUGCAAGAACAGAGUGUAAUAAGCAGCGACGGAGAAAGAAUAAUAAUGAUGAUACAUAUGGUGAGAGGAAUUAACUGGGGGAUUGUACAAUGGAUAUGGAUCGAGCACCACCAGCAACGACGGCCAAACAAUCAGAUCUGUCCACGCCCAACACACGCAUAACACGGAGGAGUGUCCUACUACGAAUCCGAAUGCCGAAUGUAAUAAUCAUCAACGCAACAACAACAAAAGAAGAAGAAAAAAAAGGAAGAUAAACAGCUCCAAGAACACCACCACAAAAGGAGAGGGAGCGGGGCCCUCGGAUAAAUUAAAUACUCUUGCAGGCAGCCGAUCUGCCGCGGGGGCGGGAUCUCUCAGUAGAAGGCGGCGGCGGCGGCCACGGCGGCGGUGGCGACCCACGCGGCGGCGGGGUGGACGCCGGCGGCGGCGCUGGCGGGGGUGGUGGGCGCGUCCAUGGACGGGGCGGGGGACGGGCCCAUCAUCGACGGCUCCGGCGGCGAGCUCAUGUNNNNNNNNNNNNNNNNNNNNNNNNNNNNNNNNNNNNNNNNNNNNNNNNNNNNNNNNNNNNNNNNNNNNNNNNNNNNNNNNNNNNNNNNNNNNNNNNNNNNNNNNNNNNNNNNNNNNNNNNNNNNNNNNNNNNNNNNNNNNNNNNNNNNNNNNNNNNNNNNNNNNNGGGGGAGGCAUGACCGGGGCCACGGCCGGCGGGGGAGACACCGGCGCCGGGGUCGGCGGCGGCAUCAUCGGAGGCGGGGACACCGGGGCCACGGGGGCCGGCAUCGGGGUGGCCGCCGGGGCCUGGGCCGCGGUGGCGGCGAAGAGCAUGGUCAGGGCCAGAGCCACCAGCUGGAUGCGCGCCAUUGGAGGAGUGAAGAGGAGAGCUUGAGCUUGAGCUUGAGCUUGAGCUUUGCUUUUGCUUGAGGUGGUGCUGCUGCUGGUGUACUGUAAUGGUGUCCGAGACGGUAUUGGGCCGGGAGAUUAUAAAGGGGUCGCGGACGGGGCUACGACGACGAAUUAUAUGAAGACCCAGGGGGCUCCGUGCUAAUUUCCGAUCCUGGUAGCCGUCCGAUCGACAUCCGACGGCUCGUAUGGUUGGAAAGCUUCAACUCUUUUUUCUUCCCCAAACUUCUGACUUCUGAACAGCAAGCAAGUUUCAGAAAAACAAGCUAAAUCCCAACAGCUGGCGGAGAUCAUGUCAUUUGGUUCACGGGAAAUUCUCUCGCGAUAUAAGAGUCUGGUGAUUAUUUGCUUUCCUUUUUUUUGUCAUGGUUCACGCGUAAUUCUGGUCGACGGUGAGCUGGGUUUCCUUCCUGUUCCGUCUUGCCUAAUUUUGUCUUGGGGGUUUGAAAAUCGUGUGCAUAAUCCCACCCCUAUCUUCGGUUCAUGGACCCGAUCAAUUAGUCCAUUGCAGAUAUUUGCGGUAAAAUAUUAUGGACGAUCAAUGCAAAAUGGCAAGCAGCUAAUGAGCCAAUUGGCCCACGCGUUUGCAGUGUUCUUUACAACGAUAACAAAAUGUCAGACUUUAAAACAAUGUUAACUUCGAAAGUCAAAGUUUUUUUACAUGGGUGGCACACAUGCAUGUAAACGGACACGCACGCGUAAAUGUGAAAUAGCAAGUGGUAUUUGCUAAUGAGCCGACUGACCCACGCGUUUGCGGAGCUAGUGCAUCGAGUUUUUUCUACAAGAUAAUAAAAGGUCGGAUUUCAAAAACAAAGUUACUUCCAAAGUCAAAGUGCUUUUUCUCGCAAUUACGUUGGUGACGCACACGCAGACACGCACGCGCAAAUGUGAAAUAUCAAGUGCUUGUUAAUGAGCCGAUUGGCUCACGCGAUUGCGAUGUUUGUGCACUGAGUUUUCUUUACAAGGAUAAUGGAGGUCCAUUUCCAACAACAAGGUUGCUUCCAAGGUCAAGGUGCUUCUUUAUGCAGUUACAACACACAUGUAGACACGCACAUACACACACUCAGAACCUUGCAUAUUUUCGACAUUUUUCUCUUCUUUUUUGAGGGCAGGUUCAGCCCAUCAACAUGUGAAAGUAAGCACCCGUGACUGUGCAAUGUUUAGUUGAGGUAAAAGUGGAGAAAAUAACCAUCAAGUGAAUGGGGCGACUCAUUCCAAGAUGAUUUACCAAUUUUCGUGUGCGGUUUUUCCUGUAUGAUUGGAUGAAACUUGUGCGUGUCAAAUCAUCGAAUAUCGUCAUCUUUCUCACCGAAAGAUCAAUAACCAACAUUGUCUCAUCAAUUCGUGAUGUAUGGUGUUCCCUCGUAUGCAUCAUAUUUUUUGCUCUAUAAACAAAACUUACAAAACUAACAAGAGGUCCACAUUGUGUAUGUGUGCACACGCGCGGCGUGGGACAAUUAUAACAAAAAUGUCUUUCUAUAAAAUAGACAUAAAAUAGAGCUCCUUGUUUUGAUCAUUUGAUGAUAGCAUCAACCAGCUAAGAUUAGUUGCCUACAAAAUAAAUACCUUAGCAAUGAAAUGAUUGGUUUGGUGCUAAUCAAUGGAGCGCACGUUGUCCUCACCAAUUCUAUAUUGAGCCGUUGGUGAAUGAUGGGUUGCUGUCAGCGUUUCUCCAUCAAAAUCUUGGGUUUACAAAAGAACGAUACGAGAAAGUAAUCACACUAACACAGACGGUUAGGAAAACAAGAGAAAAUUCUACUGUCAAGUUAUCUCUUCCGUGUAUUCUUCAUGCACAUUUUUAUUUUAUUUUUGCACAUUGUUUGGCUUGCAAGUUUUAGUCUCCUGCCUAUUAUGUUAGCUGGAAGGAGAUAAAGUUCUUGGUCCCCGACGAAAAAUAGGUUCACUUGGGAGGACAAUGGUGUACAGCCUAACCAAACCCUUUUCAAAACCUAAAGCUCCACACGUUCAGGUUGCUCGAUUUGGUCCAUAAGGGUAUACCUAACGCGCCAAAUGUUUCCAAAACCUAAUGUGCCCCGUUUUUUUCCUUCACAAUAUCCAUCUUGUUCCACAAGAUAAAUCCAGAGAUUUCCAACCUAACCAUACCCUUCCAAAACCCAGCGCUCCACUCCUCCAACGUUCAUAUUCUUUGGACAAGAGAUACACACGAAUACACUUGUCUGGUUCCUAACCACCAUGUGGAAGAGUGUGAUUAUGCUAGUUGAUAGGCAGCUCUGAAUCAGACCGACAAUAGGAAGCCCCUAUCUGGAAGCAAGAGUUCAA